This 83405-nucleotide long non-coding RNA is filed under the name Cinara cedri. The record is from RNAcentral. Lineage: Eukaryota; Metazoa; Arthropoda; Insecta; Hemiptera; Aphididae.
GUACGGGCGGCACGUUCGUUCGCCCGCGUGUGUGCCACCAGAUUUUUCGUACGACGCGUUUCCUUGUGCGCGCGUGAUUCCGCCGGUGCCUACCUGUACCCGAACCGCCGCGUCCGUUUUCCCUCCGGCAGAGUAUUCGAAUAGUAAAUAUUUUCUACGUGUCCGUUUGCCGACCGCGAUAACCGUCCCGACGAUUUGUUUAUCGCCGUUUUAUUUCGAGGGAUUUGUUUUUUUUCUCAAACGAAUUUUCCGCGAUUUUCGAUAACCUCCUCUAACGAUCCGAGCGUACCACUCGAUGUCCACGGGAUUUCCGUAACCCCGACAACCCGUGUUCGUACCGCGCCGCCGCGAGCGAUCACACGUCGACCCGCGACGCGCGGAUAAAAGGCCUAUUCGCGCGCGAUCGUCGCCGUCCCCGCCGUAAAUCACCACGGACAACGGAAUGCGCCGCAAAGGCCGCCGGCCGCCGCCGGCGCGACUCGGACCGUCGCGGUGGCCGUUGCUGUUCGCCGCCGCCGUCGUGCUGCUGACCGUCGUCGUCGCCGUCGUCGGAUCGGACGGACAACAAGCAGGUAAGCGGAGAUUUUUAACGUCCCAGUACCUGCAUCACUGCGCGUCUUCGUCGUCGUUGCGUGCGUGCGUGCCAAUGCACGCGAGCCCGCGUGUGUGUGUGUGUGUGUGUGUGGCGCGCUACGUGCGCUUGUGCGUGCGCGCUCGCGUACGUACGUACGUACGCGACAGCAACCGGUUUCUCGUUCUUUCUACCUGCAGCUCUUUGUUACACGACACCGGUGCAGCGUAUUUUUUUCUAUUUUUUUUCCUCCCGCCGCCGACGCCGCAUCAGUUCCCCCCCACUCCCGUCGUACGCGACCGCCGCGUUUCUUAUACUGUAGUUGCCCCCACACUCUCGGCAAUAAUAACAAUAAUUAUUAUUAUUAUUCCGACGACGGCGACGACGACGAUGAUUAUUAUUAUUAUUACACGCAGCCGUCGUUCCCCGCGUGUACGGCCCGUGCAGAGUUACCUGGUACGCGGUGCGGCAGGUGUUCCACGCCGCCGCGAGAAACCACCGGUUAGGUCGCUGUUGCCGCGGCCCCCGUCGAAUAGGCCAGACGACAAAGGGAGCGCGUCUUUUUUUUUUUUUCCCACCCUCGCCGGCAGCCAACCCCGAAUCUCGAUAACGCGCGACGGAUCGGACCGGGACGUGGAUAAUACGAGAGAAAAAAAAAUACGCUUAAUAACGCGGUAUACGAAAUUCACCUCGAUCAUCCCGCGAUGACCCAAAUACAUACGUAAUACGUGAUAUUAUUAUUUGUGUAUUAUUGUCCCGCGCACGUUUUUCGGCCUGUCACGGGCCCGUCUUUUUUUCUUUUUUUUUUUUUUUUUUUUUUUCACCCGCCCGGUCGAUUUUUUCCUACCGUCCGGCGCGCGUUUUCAUCGGGACGGCGUUUUCGCCGAAUUAUUCGAAUUUUUCCCGCCGUUAUGCCGUCGAAACGUAACGGGAUACGUCCAAUUAUCGGGGUAUUCGAGCGUAUUCAAAGGCCGCGGAGACUCGCUGUAAAGUCGUCGCGACGCCCCCUCAAAGAGUUAACGACCACUCGAAAAAUAUCAACAAAAAAGAAAAAAAUUCGCUCAUUUCUAAUUGGGAAUCCGUCGCGUUUUCGUCGUGUUUGGCAAUUAUUAUUGAGUUUACCUACAAAGUUGCCCUCUACACACACACACACACACACAUAUAUAUAUGUGUCUCGUGUUAUAGACGUGCGUGUGGGCCGACGCGAUUUCAGAUAGAAAAAUAAAGAAACUCUGCCGUUUUUAUGUUUCCGAAAAACCGUCGGAUAAGUAAACACUACCGCUCGUUUUUUCUCGCGUCGCUCGUUAUUCUCGUACGUUGUAAUGUUGCGAAACGCGCGCCCCGAAGACAAAACACAACUCGUUUGGCGCGUAAUAUUAUAUUCUUGCCGAUACGUUUUUUUUUUUUUUUUUUUUUAUUUUUUUUUUUAAUCGUCGGCAAAAAAUACGCGCGUAAAAACGUGCGGUAUUUCGUCGUAUCUAAACGUCUCGACAUUAUACUAUUAUUAUUAUUAUUAUUAUUACGGCCUUCGGAUAUUUCCUCGACCGUUCGAUCGGGUUUUUGAUUAAUCGAACGGUACGAUUAUUCCGUUUCCGUAUUUAAAAAAAAAAAAAUUGUGUUGAAAUAUGGUUUGAAAAAAAAAAAAAAAAAUGUCCCGGUCGCGGAUUUACGGGACGAGAUUGCGUCUUGGUGUUAUUUUUUUUCCUCCCCAAAAGCCGUACAAUUCAAAACUGGUACUGGCCGCAAAACGCGAAACGACCCGUGUCUUUUUUCCCUAUAAUAAAGGACUUGUCGAUACCGCAACGUCGUCGCGCGUCCAACGUUAUCCCGGACACAAAAACCUCUCUGGCGUCUAUCGGCCCCCCCGUCAUAAAGGGAAAAACAAAACGGAAUCCCGGACGUCCGCCGCCGAUAUUGCGUGUCCGCACGGUGCGCCGGGUGACGUCGGUUGUCCGUCAAUCUGUUAAUCUGUCCGCGCGCGUUCGUUUUCGCGCAGAUAAAAUGUCGAUAGCCGCAACGGGUAAAACGGAAAUCGAAUCGCAACUGCCGUUGACUCGUCGAACCGGGAAGACCCGCGGAACCGGACCUGUCGUAAUUACCCGCAGUGAUUACGAAACGCGAUAACGUUCAUUGUCAUCGCAUUCGGCGAGGGGCCCCGUCCGCGCGUAAUUCGUUUUACUACCGGUCCGUCUCGCGCGCCGUCCCGGCCGACCGCCGCUGGUCGGAAACCCGGCCGUUUACCGACGCGUGAUACCGAUACGCCGGCAAUCGGCGUAUUCUCCUCCCCCCCCUCCCCCCUCGCCUAACCCUCCCCGCCGUUGUACCGAAAUCGACGGUUUUAACAAUAAAAAAAAAAAAUCAACGCCAUCGAUUAAAUAUUUUAAUCAAUUACGCACAAAUUAUUAACGUGUGUCGCCCACCUACGCUGUACUUGCCGUUUCCCGCCAAUAUGUACUUGACAGAAAUUAAUUUUAAUAGGUGUUUGAAUUAUCGUUAUCGAUUAAGUUAUUAUUAUUGUUGUUUCGGGGGGUGGAAUGAGAACGGACGAAACCGGCGUGAAAAUGGUUUCGCACCGUAUUCGCACCGUUUGGUCGUGGGAUUUAUUUUCGUUCGCGCAACGAGGGCAGUAGUAAUAGUUAUCAGCGGUUAAAACGCGCGUUUGUUCGCGGCAAAAACGAAAAAAAAAUCUUUCGGGCCGCCGCGCGACGAGUGCUCGUGUUUUUCGAAACUAUUAACGGGGGGUAUCCUUUUGCCGCCCGGGACUCGGCCGCAAUCGUUGAAAUGCGAAACGCGUUCCGCGUCCGUCAUUGGCCGUUACGCGUAUAGGUUUUCAGAUUUUCGUUCGGCGGGCACGACUCGUAUGCGGGCGAAUAUUUAUAAUUUUUUUUUUUUGUUUUUCUAAUCUAUCGCCGCCAAGAGGGACAUCUGGACGCGGAGAUAAGGACAUUGUGCCGGUCGUCGCCGUUCGUUUUCUCCCGAACAUCCAUACGCGGGGUGUACGACCGCGGGGAAAUGUCGCGUCGGCUGCACAAUGCCAACUGUCCGAUCGUGUUCGCUUUAUCGAAACCGUGCCAUAACCGCCGCGUUCGUUUCGUCGUUCGGUUACGGAUGUUUCGGCGACCUGCGGCCAAAAAGUCACGGCCAAAGCAAUAGCGAAACGCGCCGCGAUAACGGCGACUGUUGUUGUGUAGAUUCUGAAACGCCAAGACGGCGUCGGCGUACCCGGAACGUUUUCUAAUGUGUCAUUUUGAAUCCACCACGUCCCGCACGUGUAACAAUAUACGUGUUCAAAGCAAAACGACGCGAACGCCGUCCCGAGCCGUUCGUUUUUUAAUAUAAUUUUUUUUUUUCCAUUUUUCCGUCACGAAUUGAACGAACGCGUUCGAAUCAUCGAAAAAUAAUCGCCGACAUUCCCGGGGCCGGCGCAACCGAAGCGGCACGAUGCCGCGCGUUCAACACACUGUUGCUCCGGUUUUUUUUUUUUUUGUAUUAUUAUUCAUCCGCACUCAUUUCAAUAAAAAUUCACCGGCCGUUUUAAACGACGUUUAUUAUUUUCGCGUUGAAUACAAUUCGCUCGCCGAUUACAAUUAUCAUUGUACGCGCAUGUGCACGUCGACAGUUGAAGAAAUCGCGAAUUUUAAUCGUCGCCGCAAUUAUUAAUUAUUAUGCGGCCGACCAACGAGAUAAACGACGCGAACCGAACGUGGAGAUUCGCAAACAUUCGUUCGUCGCUGGCAACAGAUUUCUGUUGUUUUUUUUUUAUCUUCUUCUUCUUCUCCUCUAUAAUCGGUGCGGUAUGCCGAACUGGGUAAUUAUCGAUUCGGUUGUGGGAAAGAAUUUUUUUGUUUUCUUUUUUAUUUACCGUAUUAAAUCGGCGUGUUCGGACGGAGAAGUAACCCGUCUUUUCCUAGAAAAACCCGUCUUAUCGAAACGAUAUUUCCCCCCCCCCUCCUCCUCAAAUUGUUAACUUUUAGCGAAUUUCAACGAAAUUUCGAUUCUAAUGUGUAUUCGCCCGCACCGUCGGCUGGCGGCGCGUGCUACACGCAUAUUCGUGUACGGCGUCUUUCCCUCGGAUACCUUUUAUCACAUUCCCCCCCCCCCCCCCCCCCCCCCCCCGAUUCUUCCACGGUGUUUAUUUGUUGGGUGUUGUAAAACGUACAACGCGCUUUUUACGAAAACGACCCGCGCGCGGUCGUCACCGCGAAUGUAAACAACGACUCGGCCGGUAGGUAGGCGGCCAAUGAGAACGGCCGGACACCAUAGAAUACUGUAAUAGUAAUGUGCUUGGUCUCCGAAAACGGAUAAUAUUAUUAGUUGCCGGAGAAAAACAUUGAUCUCGAAUAUUGUCGCGUUGUUAUUAUUACUAUUACCAUUAUGUACGAGCGUGUCAUGAGGUUUGUGACUUUAUAACAUUUUCACACGAGUCGGCGAACUGUGCUGCGGCGCGACGUCGCCGCCGCCGCCGCCGCCGCCGGUGUUUGUGUCAACAAGUGUCUCGGGGACGAUAACGAGGAAUGCUUGUUGUUUUGUUAUUGCAUCACCGUUGAUAAAAACGAAUUAUUGUUAUUAUAAUAUUAUUACACAGCGGUUAUGAGUCAUUUUAUGCGCACUGGUUGGUGUAGCGAUUUUGAAGUGCGCCUAUGCGAUCCAUAAUAGUAUUUGUCGCAAUAGUUUCCGAUUGCGAAACGCGCAUUCUCGGCGUGGUACACUCGAAGUGCCUCUAACCUAUGGAUAUGGUUGUUAUCGUGUUUGACGAACGACAUAAAAAAAAAAAAAAAUCGCCCGUUCGUUUUACCGUCGAAUGACUUGUUAUCUAUGACCGAGGGGAAAAAAAAGAACGACAGUUUUAAAAUUUUUGUAGAUGGAAAAAACAAAAAUGAUAUAUUAUAAUCUAUAUUGGAACAUUAGAACACUUUGGCGCUUGAGCGACUUUUGACAGACUAAGUUUAGUUCAUUCAAAUAACAGCGUGGAAGUAUGGAAAGGUCAUAGGCGGGGUCAUUGGUAAUUUCGAUGAAUGAAAGAUAUAUUGCAACCACUCGUUAAAGUUUUGAAAAGUUUUAACUUUUUUUGAAAAUACUGUUUUUCACGUAAUUUUUUUACAAAUUAAAAAUGUUUUCAUACGAAUUAUAUUUUUAUAUUUCAAUAUUUUAAACAAUCAUAUUGAAUACAAUUUUUUUUUUAAUUUUCAUAAUUAAUUAUUAUAUUUAAUAUGUUAGAACUGUUGUGUUUUUGUUUUACCGAUUACCGUUAUCUAUAGGUACGUUUUGUUUUCGUUUAGGUUACGUAAGUCGUUACCGCGAAUGCAGGAUGCCGAACGACAGUCUGUUAUCAAUAUCUUAUUGGCGGUCAGAAAGUUUUCAAUUCACAAUGUUUGACCCGUGCCGCUAAAUGGUUACGGUGGUUAAAUUCUUAAUUAAUUGUCGUGUAUAAUAAACCGUCAGAUUGAAUGCCUACAAAAACAAAUACGAACAAAUCAAAAGAUACGACAACUAUUUCAUUUCGCUUUAGUUCGUAUCGAACGGUACCCCGCUGUAUUUUAAACGUUGUCACUGUGGCGAAAAAGCGCGUUAUUCCGGAUUUCGGAAUUUUCAGUGUACAACUGAUAAGCUAUCUAUUUCGGCAUUUUGCAUAAUCUUAAUUCGCUGUCCGUUACUAACGGUUUGUUUUUAACGCGAUAACGGUCCUAUGCGAGGCCCUACAUCUAUCGCGUUUUUCGAAACUCCGUUUAUUUCACGUUCUAGAGGUUAAAAAUCAUUAUUGUCGGCCAUGACUCCGCCAUUAAUAUUAGGCGAUCAUUUAACGUGCUCGGGUAAAAGUAGAGUUGUAUUCAAAAUGUCGUACUCUAUUAUGCUUAUACCCGCCUGUAUUUACCUGGGUAAUGCAUACAAUAUAAUCGUAUAUGCGGUGUAGGUAAUUCAGUGGUUUAUUUGGAAAGGCCCGAAUAAAAGGUUACGUGGACGAUACUAAUUCAGAGGGACAUUUCGGCUGUAAAAUACCUGUGGAGGUGUACUCCGCCGAAACACGAUAUUGGUACUUAUUAUUUGAUUAACCCCAUCUAAUAAUCUUUUAAUUUAAACCGUUUGAUUACCUAGGUACCUACCGCAUAUAAUAGAUAAAUACAGUUUGGUAAUAUAAAUAAAUAUAGGUGACGUUAAAUAAAAUUACGAGGGCUUUGAGCUUUGAGAUUUUCCACUGAAAUAAUAAAGACAUUGACUCGGAUGUUACGUGUAGGUUAGGUACAUGCGUGUCGAUGCGUAUUUUUUAUCUGAAUUUUUACAUUUAUAUUUUAGUUAUUAUGCAAUCAAAAUUAUAACUGUUGAUCGUUUCUUAUUUUAUUUAUUUUUUUUUUUUCAACGAACAAAUAUCGAGAUUAUUUAUUAUUUACAUUCCGUAUAAUUUCUUCGCACACGGUGUUUCCUAAAAUUUACCACCACGAAAAACGGUUAUUAAGAAAUACAUAAUAAUGCACUGUAACGAUCGUGUAGGUUGUUGCGUAUUCAAUGUUAUUUUCGUUGGGCGCCACAUGGAUGAUACCGAUGUAUCGGGAGGAAUAAAAACUAUACGAAUUUUAGAGUUACUUUACAUAACAUAUUUGUGUAUAUAUCUUUAUUUGUUCGGAUCCAGUUGUACUUGACGCGAAUAUUGUCAUCGCAUAAUACGAUACACUAAUCGCCCCCUAUUAGUUGUUUGUAUCGACGAACUACAUAGCACCACAGUUGACAAGAACUCAAAGGCCCCGUACUCCGUUCGUUGUAUGUAUGCUUACACCCGCCAACCAUAUUAUUCCUUGUUCGUAUUGUUCGUGGUCCACGUAUGCACGCUUUGUAGAUUGAUAAUUCACGCAGUUGCAAGUAAUAGGUAUUCUUACUAAAGGGGUUUUUUUUUUUUUUUUCCUAAAGCAAUUUCUCAACGUGAUAUAAAUUGCCAACAAUUUGAGAUGGAAAUAAUAGUGUAUGCGAACUCCUAUUAAAAUGUUAAUGUUUAACACAAAAUUAGGUUUUUUUUUUUUUAUUACCAUAAUUAACGAAUUUAAAGUCGAAAUACUUGGGUACUUAAAGCUUUACUAUAUAAUCAGUGAUGGUUGUUUUCAUAAGAAUACGUUUUGCUGUCUGCUAAUGAUAUUUCCGAGAACCCGCCCACCCGUAUCCGUUGAAGUAUUAUAACUUUUAGAAAUCAUACUUAGUAAAAAUCUAGAAAACAUAAAAGCUGGAGAAAAAUCAACCCCAUUAUGAUAUGUUAUGAACUCAAUAAAGUUCCAUCAAAUCAUGUUUUCGAUCAACUCAUCUACCCACCUAUACCAAAUGUUGUAGGUAUGUAUUGUGUCUGUUACUUCAGCAGCACUUUCGCCACUUGGUACCUAUAAUUCUUUUGUAUCUAGUAACACACGACGGUUUUGGAGAACACGUUUGUCCCAUACUGUAUUGUAAUAUACAAGACGCUAGGAAUGUUUAACAAAAAAAUAUAACAAUAUGGUUUUUUUUAAAACGGAUAAAAUUUGGAUUUUACGAUGGUGUUUAAAAGAAAGAAAAUCUACUUAUAAACUUUGAUUAUAAUAUUUUAUAUCGCAAGUACUUAUUAUUAUUAUUAUUAUUUUUUUAUAUAAGAAAAUCGGUCAUGUUCAUUAACUAUACCUAUGUUGCAGUGUACUUACCCGUGAUUUUAGGAAGAAGAAAAAAAAAAUUACAAAACGCUAUAUUUUUUUUUUUAGGUUAAGGACCAGUACAUAAUAUACAAUCGCGCGAGGUAAAUUAAUUAUUUUAAAAUCUCACGAAUAUUUUAUGCAAUACGCGUAUAUAUUUUAUAUUGUAGCGCUGCCUGUGUGCAUUAUUGCUGUUUUUCUCAGACUUUUUUUUUUUAGUACAUAUUUUAGUGUGUAUACUCGGGUAUUAUUUUUUCUCCGUUUUGUGCGUCUUCCACUCCAUUGUACCAUCUAUGAAUACGGGAGAAAAAAUAAACAGACAUACCUGCUUCGCCGACUUAUACAACGAGUAUACAGGGUCGUUAACUUAUCUCAAACGAGGGAUUUUCUCGAGGAUUUUAAGUGAAUUCGAUUUCUGUUUUUUCGUUUAGUGAAUCGUUUAAGUUUUGUUUUUACAAUGUUUUCGAAUUUUUACCCCUAAUAUUUUCAAAUAAAGGAUAUUUGUUUAAACAUUUUGAUAGGCACGCACCACAAUAUAUAAUAUUGGAUUUACUGUUUACGCAUUAUAGCAGUUUAAAAUUUAAACCGUCCGGAAAUUUGUUAAAACAGAGUUUGAAUGAUUUCAUGAUUAUUAAAAAAAAAAAAAAAAUCUAAUUUAAUUUGAUGAAAUCACUGGUUUGUGAUAAGUUGAUCACCCUGUAUAGUGAAUUCAAACGUGUGAGACAUUUGGUGAUACAGUACCUAUAUCUGUAUAAAACGUUCUUCUUCUCGUAUUUUUUUUUUUAUUUUGGUUCACAAUUAGGUACAAAGUAAGUAAUGAAUAGUGGAAUAAUUAACGUGUCUAAUUAUCGAACAAAACGAAAGCUAUGAGAACUAUGUUUAAAAACCAAAAAAAAAAAAACCUCACGUUCUAUUGUAAACUAAUAAUAAGCUAUAUAAAGGUAUAAUUUUGAAAGGUUUAACAUAACGUAUAAUAUUUAUAGUAUUUUGUUUGUGUUUUUGUUUGAUUUCCGUUUGAUUGCCAAUUUAUAAUAAAUGUUCGUGGAUUUAGUCAUUGCUGUGGAAAAUGAGUUACAAAACUAUACAGCUAAAGUUUUAAUAAACCUAUAUGUUCAUAAAAACUUCGAUAAAAAUAUUGUACCUAUCAGAAAAAAAAACAACAAUUUAAUAGUUACUAUUAAGUCCUUUUUAAUUACAGAGAAAAAAAACAUAAAACAUAUUUUAACGUAGGUAGGUGUAAUAAUAAUAAAUUAUUAUUAUUUUAAUCCUUUUUUGUAAAUCUGCUGCAGUUAAAAAAAUCUAAAAAUCCUCGCGAGUAAAACGAAUCAGUGAUGUGUAUAAAAUAAAAUUACAGGAUGCUGCUCGUGGGUAUAGGCCUCAAUUGUGUGUGGGAAGUUGGGAUGGGAGGAUAUUGUAUAGAGUAAUUUAGUUUAGGUAUAUGUAUUUGACGAUUAAUCAAAAAUCGAUUCUGAACGAAGCUCUGUACAUCCGUAAUCGUCAGAUUGGCAAUUUUUAAACUAAUCUCGACUUUCUUACGGCCAUCAUAUAGUUUAUUUUUCCAUGAAAUAGUUCAUUGUACCAUGAUUUACUCUGCGUGACGUCAGUUUCGAUGCGCACUGUUAUCUUGCUGUCAUGCUUGUUUAUUUGGCCACGGUAACAAUUAACCGUGGUAACAAUCACCCGUGUCUCAUUCACAUACUUCGGACCACAGUAUUAUAGAUGCGGCCAUUGGUAGUGGUUCGAUAUCGACCUUUUAGCUUUUACAUUUUCAUUAACAACGGCGCAAUUAUGGCAUCUUGUUAUGCGGAUCAAAAACACAUUUGAAUAAUUAGGGCCUCAAAUAACGCGUCCCCCUUAUAUUUGUCGAAUAGAUUCGAAAACGCAAUAUUAAUAAUUAGGACUAGGAAAUUACAGUAGCAGUAUCGUAUUAUUGUUCUGUAGGUAUGCUCUGGGUUUGUAGCAGAUCGAGCUAGAAAUCCGUUCUAUACAAUGGAGAUUGUAAAAAUCCGAAUAUUUAAAACGCUUAUUUGGUCAAUUUUAGGGAAAAAGCGCAUAUUUCAUGUUGCAUAUUAAUACCAUCGGUUUUUAUAAUUCGUAUUCAAUAUUAUUUAACGUAUUUAUUUAGAUAUUUAUAUAAAUACUGAAAUAAAUUUCGUUUUAACCAUUUGUACAGAUGGUUCUUUUUUUGUUUUGCAUAUUUAUUAAACGUUUUGCAUAUUAUUUAAACGUACGUUUCGCAUACAUAUUCUAUCGAUUAGGACGUUUAUUUUCGGUUACUUUUUUUCCCCGUUCACGUUUUGCCAAAUUCGUCUCCCGUAACUCCCUACAAUCAUAAUUUUAGUACGGCUACUAUUGUGACUCCGGUUAAAAUCUUCUCUUCGUUGUUGUUGUUGUCGUCGUAUGUGCGCGAGACGCGACCAACAAUAAGUAAUUAUUAUUAUUACUAUUAUUAUACGAUUCGGGGUUUUGUACAAAUAUUAUUAUUAUUAUUUAAGCAGGCAUUCCGAAAUCCGGAAUUUCCGGUAUGCCGAUGGUUUAUGUUUAGGUGUACACUAGUAUACCUGUACGUUGUGUUGUAUACACGUGGAGGUAAAACACGGUUUGGUGCGCAAACACGACGACGACGACGACGACCGACGACGGCGGGUCCGAUUCGCCGGUAACCGUGGUUAGGUUAUUGUAUAUACGUGUAUAAUACUAUACACGCGUAUCGAAUGAUGAGGAGGCGACGGCGGAAGGAAAGGAAACCGUUAUACGGUCUCUUUAUUUUAUUAUUAUUAUUUUUACAUUGUGUCACGUACUCGUAUAUUAUAGCAGGAAGGUACACUUUACUGCGCGCGCGGGAUUUUGUCUGCGAAACCCGCGCGAGUUUGUCAAAAUAUUAUUAUAAUAAUAAUAUUGUUGUCUAUACCUUUAUGAUUAUAGCGGUCAACCGGCGAAAUUGUAAAAUCAUUUUUCUUUAAUUAAAAAACAACUCUCCCGCUUUUUAUCAUUAUUACUGAUUGUAAAUUUCGCGCGCUCAGGAUUCGGAUGACCGCGUUUCGUCCUAUAAUUAUUAUUAUUUGUCGGUCGUAAAUUUACAAUAUCCGUCCGUUUUUUUUUCGCCCGAGUUUUUCGAUAUGUUACAAGUUACAACUCCCGUCGUUCAUAUAAACGCGCGUUCGGACCGCGAAACCGUAUUACCUACUUAUAUUAUUAAGAUUAUUAUUGUAUUCGUGUUCGCGGCGAAUUCACAGACACAAUUUUAUUAGCAUACGAUAUCAUUACAUCGGUGUAGCCGACAAAUUGACAUCGAGAUAUUCCGGCUUCAAAACGUACAAAUCUCGCCCAGACCCCUCGAAAAAUCGCGUCAGGUGUAAACAAAAAUAGGAGUAAAAGGCAAAAGUCACGUCGGGCAGGUCAAAUCUUGAAGUUGAAUUGAAUAGCCGUUGAAUCUCGUUUAUCACGGUCCAGGGUCGUCAAUUCGUUAGCAUUAAAUUUGUGCCGAUAAUGAAUUCGAAUUUCUAUAGGCAUUUGGUAAUUUUCUCUUUUCGGGGUUACUGUUUGGUUUACUGUUAUAGACGUAGAAAGUAUUUAAAAGGAUUAAGUAGAUUUGUUAUAAGGAUUUUCCAACACAUAUGCAGCAAUUUAUACCGACAUUUAGUCCAAUCGAUAAGCGUUCUGAAAACUGAAAAUUUGACAUGCAAAUUUGGAAAUUUUUAAAAAUGUUUAAGAAAAAACUUAGUCACCAAUGGUCAUACAAUAUUGUUCAAUUCGCGUCAAAUUAAGAAUUUGUUUUCAGAACUUUUAUUUUCGUUUCACUAUAUCAUCGAUCGGACAAAAAAAAUGUGCGUUUCGAUUGUUUCGAGGACAUUAUUACCCGCAUUGAUUGUCUCAGUCCGAUUAUUAGUCUUAGAAUUACUAAGAAUUACAAUUUUGUCAUUGUAAGUCGCGGUCGAAGUUUAAAUACAGGACGGUAACGAAAUUUAAAGACCGAAAGAUAUUUUCCGCGUUGUUUUUUUCUUCAAAAAAAUAUUCUACAACAAAAUAACAAAAAAAAACCCCCUACCAUACGUUCGUAACUCUUUUGAUUGAUAAUAUUUUGGAAGAAAAACAACGCGGGGAAAUUUGCAUCUCGUUAAAUUUCGUAACUUGUGUUGAAUUUAAAUUCGACCUAAACGCCAUGAUAGGUACGUAUGCGGUCUUUACUUUUUUUUUUCUUGGCCUCUGAUUGGGCACAUUUUAUAUUCGUGUUUUUCUUCGUUAACAAAAAUUGUAAUGUAACAAUAUUAUAUAUGUAUUUACUACAAUCGGUUGUACUUGAAAAUCGGUAUGGUUUUAAUUUUAAUGUUAUAAAUUAUUACUCUCGGUUAAUUAAUUUGUUUGUUUAUGCAAAUAUUUUAUAACUGCCUCUAAUUAUACGCCGUUCGCAUUGUUAUCGUAGUUUUAUUUUCGAAUAUUGUAUUUUUUUUUCUUUUCUUCUGAAUUUUAUUUUAAUAUCGAGUCGAAUUUCUCACGGAUAUAAUAACUACUUUACCAUAAUAAUAUUAUAACAGGCGGCGUUUACAUUAUGUAUUAAUUUUUUGAAUCCGCUCGUUUUUUCACUAACCGAAUUUAUGAAAAAAAAUAUAAUAAUACUACGUACUAUGUAUAUACUCGUAUACUAAUUUUACGACGGGAAUGCGCACAUAGCAGUCGCUACUAAAUAAAUGAUUUUAGUCUCUUGGAAAAUACGUUUAAAAAAAAAAAAAAAAAUUGGCUAUAGGUUUUUUUUUUUGUUUGUUUUCGUUGUCCGUUCUUUGUAUCGCAAACAAACGCGAUAAGACGACGAAAUAAUAUAAUGAUUUUGCUUUCGUCAACAAGUUCUUUGUGUACAGACAUACAUGCAUACAAACGAUUAUAUUCGUUCGAAAAAUUAACAAUCAAAUAUCAACAGUAUAUUCUUAUACCUAAUAUUUCUUAGACGUGUUUUUUUUUUGUAAUUUUUUGCGAUUGUUGUCACGAGAAUUGGCGUAAAAAAUCGUUCUCGAAAUUCAAUUUGUAUAUUCCAAUCCGGACGCAACCGGUGAUCGUAUUGUAACAUGACAAAUAUUAUCGACGUCAUUGUGUAUAUAAGGUUAGUUAGAAUGUCACUUGAUUACUGCCUGCGUUUCAUAAUUAUAAACCGUUUUCUUUGAUGUAUACGAUAAAAAAAAAAUAAUAAUAAUAAUAAACGCUGAUAUAGUCGAGAGAGGUAGAGCCACAGAGAGAGAAAUAUAACGAAGAGGAAACUCGUGAUCUAAAAACGAACAUUUAUCCGUGAAAUUAGUGUAAUUAAUAAUGAUAAUUUUGAACAUCGGUGUCCUUGAACCGAUACAAGUAGAGGAUUUUCUUUUUUCAUCCCGCGGCAGAACGUAUAUGGGCGAAUAAUUUAUCGACCCAUGCUUAUAUAAUACCGACCCAUACCGUAUACCUACUAUAUAUAUAUAUUUAUUUUUUUUUUCUUCAAAAGAAAUACCUUUAUACGAAAAAUGAAAAAUCGCAUCGGGGAUAAAAAUUUAAAUUGAUAAAUAUGUAAAGUUUAUUGAAAAAUGUUUGUUUGAACGGUAUACCCCGUUCAAUAAUAAGUAUACCGGCGAGGCCCAAUUUUGGCGGAUAUUUUUUAUUUUUCUACGCGUGCGCAAUUUUCCGAAUGUUAUAACUCGUUUCGAAUAUUAAAAAAAAAUAUUAAUAAUACAUUCGAUUCGAAACUGCGCUUAGUUAAGUAGAUAAUAUUAUAAUAUUGUCCUCGCAAUACCGUCCUUUGCGCAUUAGCAGACGUCGUAUAUUAUACUUAGGCACCUAUAUUGUUUUACAAAAAUAAUCCACAAGUUUAUGCCCGUGUACGUGAAAACCUUAAAAAGAAUAGGUUAGUAAUUGAUAAAAUAUCGGUACUGUUUUACUAGGUUAUUAUAGGAAAAAUGCCAAUGGUUCCUUAUAAUGUUUCGUCAGUGGAUAAUACAAUUUUAAUUUAAAAUAUAUGUGUUCGCCUAACCAUUAGUUUCAAUGGCCAUGUGCAUGGAUUUUUUAAAAUACGUUUCAAUAUUUUUUUACUUUUUCAGCAGUUUUACAGAGUCAUAUCGAAUUUCUCAUACUUUAUACCCCGCAUUUUUUAAUGCUUGUGACGUCAAUUUUUCAUAUGUAUAAAAUGUCAUUAAAAAAAAAAAAUAAAUAUAUUUUAUUCUUAAAAUCGACCUGAAACUUUUAAACGUUUUCUGCGACACUAUUUGUGACGUACCUGUCAGUCAUAAACCGCGUUCAGUAGUGUUUUAGGUUAUUCUGGUAUACCUGAAUACUAUUAGGGCGUUAAUUUUUAAUUUUUAAUAGCUUUUCAAAAUAGAAUUCGGUUGGAGUAAUCGUACGGUUCAACGUCGUAGCCGUUGUUUAGUAUAGGUAUACAUUUAUUUCGAAAAACUGCUAUGGGAUUUUCUAUAAUAAAAUAAUAUCGAAAUAGUAGUUCGAUUCGGUCUGCUAAACUUUGGAAACCAUAACGUUAUAACGAUAACCGUCAUCGAUAUCCGGCUUAAUCCAUAUUGAUAACAAAAUUAUCACUAUCCGGUAUCCAUAAUAUGUCCCUUAAUUCAUCUGUGAUGGCAACUCACUGAAGGCACCUUGAAGUGAUAAGGGAACGUCGUUUUUUCGGUGUGAUCAUGAACAUAAUCUACAUAAAUACACCAAGCAAAUUUAAGAAUGGAAUCGCCUAUUUCUUGUGUUUCAUAAUUAAAUUGUUAAUUGAUUGUUAACUGUCGAAUGCCGCUUAAACUGAAAACGCUAUUAAUCCAGCUAUCAAAUCAAAAUAAUGUUAAACGUCGUAUUCGGGACUUGAUGAUUUUAAUCCAAACACUCUACAAUGACAUUGAUUACAGAUCAUACGAAAUAAUCGAAUUCUUUGUAUGAUUAAAAAGACGCGAAUAUCACACGAAAUGAAAAUAAUUUGGAAAAUCAAUGUUAUCACCGUAAAAUAAAUGAAAUAACAACCACAUCUAGUCCAUCAAAUCCAAUAAGCCGACGCGAAAAUAAAGUAGUGAUAAAAGAUGUUUCUAUCGGCGCCAUCCAUAGACAUAAUAAUAGAUGGACUGCGCGUUCCUACUCCCCGCCCUCAAUAAAUUCGGACGAAGCACGUUUGGACCAAGAACGUUUGGGCCACUAAUAAAACUGCAACCCGUCUGGACCAGGAUUUAGUGAACCCAUUUGGACCAAUACUUUUAAAUUUCUAUAAAGGCUCGCUAAAUAAACGUUCAGUUAAACUAUUAUAAUAACAAUUCUGGUCCAUAGAUAAUCUAUUAUCUAUGGUUUUAUAGCGUUACAUAAAAUGGUAUUAAUUGGGGGAGGGCCUGUGUGAUGCGAAUUUUUUUAACUUUUUGAUAGGAACAUUUUAGGCCCCGUUAUAUUUGGGCGGUUUAUAUUACGUUCUAAUAGCGUCUUCCUCUAAACUAACAAACAAUUGUAACAUAAUGAUAUUUGCCGUUUUAUCGCAAUAAUAUAUCGUUAAUUUGACGUAACGGCGUAUCGAACUAUAAUGUACAGAUCACAUUCGAAAUACUUAACAAUAAUAUCGUAACCGGCACCGUGUUUAAAUCGACGGUGUAAUUUUAUUUUAUGCUCGUGUAGAUAAUAUUGCACUACGCCGUCACGCGGAAUUUACGUUAUCUACAGUAAUGGCGGCAGGUGAUAGCAUAGGCAAAAAGUGUGCGCGAGUGCGGUCACACGGAAAACGCUGUAAGACAUUACAAUAGUUUUUUUUUUAUUAUCCACGGCCGAAUCGAACGUAAUAAUAUAUUCGAUCCCGUUUAAUAAAUCCGUGUGUCAUCUGUGUGUAUAAUAAUAAUAAUAAUAUUAAAAUCGACCGUGACCCGUGUUUUACACAGGAUGUUGGUAUUUAGCGGGGCUUAUCAAACCGUACUCGGAACGGCACUCGGAUCGCGCAUUAUCGGUUUUAUAGCAUUCGUCUUGUUUGUCUUACAAUUUAUUGUUUAGAUAUUACAGUUUAUAAUAGAAAAUUCAAUAUUGACACGAGUUAUCGGUUUUAAUUGUAUACAAGCGUUAUCGAGUUUCUUUCAAAUGAGUCAUUCGUUUAAUGUAUUUGGAUUUUUGAAGAAAAAAACCAACGGUUUCAACUAUCCGACUGUUCGUUAAAGCGCAGUUAAAAAACUGUUAUUUAUCUCGUUACACAAUUAAACUAUACUUUAUUUGAAAUUUUCAUUCGAAUUCCCUCUCCCCCUUUUCCCAUUUAAACAAAAAUCCGUUUCAAAAAUAUCAACAAAAAACCUCUACUGCGAAAUUUCCGUAGAUUUUCGCGCAAUUAAAUCAGUCGCAAAAUUUAAUUAUUAUUAUUCUCGUUUCUCCUUAAUGAUCAACCACUCUUGGUUUCUUAAUUGAUAUCACGUGUCGGGCGUGUACCAAUUGCGCUUGACCUUUUUAAUAUUUUCCCCUCCCCAUCUCCCAUACGAACUGUUCUUACAAGUGUCGGUAUAACAAUAAACGGGUUGCCGUACAAUAAAUUCACAGUUAUAUUGCACUUACAUUACCGCCCAUAUUUCUCGGGCUUGUCUUCGAUAAUCUUCAAGAUAAAAAUAUUAUGAAAACCGUUUUAAACAAUAGUCAAUAAACAACAAAAAGAAACCAAAAAAAAUGUCCCAGGAAAAAAACGAAAUAAACAAUGUAAGUAACCCGUACUUAAUAAUAAUAAUAAAAAAAAUAAACUCAGAAUUUAAAACCAGUUUAACUAUAAUGCGUGAAUAUCUUCCUCGAUGGCUCGGGUUCAUAUGUUUUAAAAAUAACUGUCGUUUUUACGUUGGCAUACAAAUUAUAUUAAAACCUAACCUAUCCUAACCGGGUUUUCGGUACAUAGAAUUGUAUAAACCAUGCGUCGUGUAUAAUAGGUAAUAAUUUUAUGUCGAAUUACUACCGAUUUAAAUCUAAUUAUCUUUUAUCGUUGAUUUAAUGUGUAUAAUCAUAUAACAUUAUGUUUUUAGUGUCCCUGAAUCAUUUUUAUUAUAAUAUCUUAUUCGAUUUUAAUGUUUCGAAAAACAGUGUUUUCGCGUUACUGCUGGACCACGUAAGUAACUUGUUACAGUUAUAGUCAUUUAGUGCCUAUACAUUUUUGUUAUUAUUUAAGGGGUUCGAUGGCAACAUUUACUAAAACUAAAUGUUUACAAUUCAACGUAAAAGAUAAAAAAAACUACAACUGUAUAAUAUCGAGGUACCUGCUAUAUAGAAUAGGUACUUUUAACAAUUUACAAUCUUAUAAAUAAUAUUUAAAAAAAUAUAUAGGCUAGGUUUUUUAUAGUAUUAUAGUGUUUAAAAAUGCUUGCUGUGCAAAAAAAUAAAAAUAAAAAUACGAAGUUUAAACGAUUAUUGUUUAGUAUACUAUAACGAAACGUUACGAAUGCGCCUGUAGUGUUUCUUCUUGACCUAGUGAUGAAAUAUGAAUUGUCUUUAUUAUUAUUACUAUAGUUAUUUUUUUUUUUAACGAAUGAUUCAUAAAAUAGGUUUGACUAAUAACGAUGUUUUUUCUCUUACUGUAAAAAUGAAAACAUUAUUAGGUAUACAGGCAGGUAGGUAUUAUAUACUUAUAAUUUUGUCCGGGAAGGAGGAGGAAUGCGAUUUAUUAGUUCAAAUGUUCAAACGAUGGUUUAUAAUUUAUUUGGGUAAGUAACCUAUAUAAUAUUGUUCGCGCAUAAUAAACUCGGACGAUGUAAUGGAAUAAAAAGUUAUAAACCUUGGAAAUGAAAAUUGCAUAAAUAAUUUACGUUUAUAGCGUAAGUUAGGAAAAAAUAAUAAUUAUUAUUAUUUAUGUACUAUAUUUAUUAGAUAUAUCAUAAACGUAAAAAAUAUUGGACACCCUUUAUAUAUAUAUAUAUUAUAUUUAUAGCUACUCAGGUUAGGUGUUCUACAAAACGUGUCGAUUUUCGUGUCUGAACGCUCUUGUCAACUCGUAUUAUUGUCAUCGUGUAUACGAAUCGAAUAAUUUCCGUCCUUUUGGCGUAUUUCGAUUAACCUCGAACUGCGAUUUUAUUGUUUGAUAUUAUUGUAUUAGCAGUAUAUUCUUUAUAUUAUAUUCGACGAACCAGGCCUGAGCAUGUGGGAAGGUGAUGGGAGUUUGGGGGGUUCAAACCUCCUCUCUAAUUGUAUUUUUUUUUGCAUCCAAAUAGUUAUAGGUAUCGAGUUUACAUCUGCAAUACUCUCCUGAAGUGAUGGAAUGUGCGGUCGAAAAAUUAUAAUUGCGUUUUUGACUUUUAGUCUUACCAAUAAUUAUUAGUGUAUUUCUUUAUUUUGAUAAAUUGUUUCUUUCGUAACCUUCUCCCUUCCCCCUACACACACACAUAAAGAAAUCCUGCGCAAAGGCCUGCGACGAACAACGUCUAAUAUCGCCCGGGAAAUCAAUGAUAUUUAAUCAUAAUAAUAUAUUAGAUAUUUGGUGAUUGUAAAUUCUGUCUCCUCCCCCCUCUUCGACCGUCUUUAUACUCUAUAACGGCGGUACUUCGGGAUCGUACUCCGUCGUCAUUAUAAUAAAUUAACGGUUGGUCGUGAAGUCGUUUUGGUACGUUAAUCGUAUAUUAUGAGGUACACGGUUUUUACGACGCGAUGUUAAUAGACGUACACCGAGUGUAUUAUACUGCACACGUUGCAGGAGGGCGGCGCAGGAAAAAUGGCCGUAACGAAUUUCGUCUGGUAUACUCUGGUCGUCGCGUAAUACUAUACAUUGUAUUAUUAUAAUAUAUAUAGGUACGUUAAAUUAUAAUAAUAAUUAUACGUACAGGGUGAAUUGUUUUAUCACGAAUCUCAACGAAGAUUUCGAGUAUACAGAGGCGUUUUGUGCCAUGCUUUUCUUAUCUCGUUCUGUUAUCAGUAAUAAUUGGAUCGUUCGGUUCCGAGCGAUUUCAUAGCACCAAUUAAAAACGCGCAUAAUAAUAUAUUAUGUUUUAACAGUAUAUUUUUAAAUACGAGUAUACUUAAAAACUGAGAUUUCGUUAAAUACAAGCUACUCGAAGUAGUGGCGUUUAGUAAUAAAAUAAAUACCUAAGUACUUCUAUGUAGAAUGCAGAAUAUAAUAAUUUUGAAGUUAUUUUACAUUUAUGCGUAGAUUUUUAUUUGUUUGGAGAUCCAACUAUCACGGAUUGUUUCCUAUAUACUACUAUGUCACAGUAAUCGCCUCUGUUAUAGACUACGUCCAUUGCGUUAUUUCGCACAGAAUCGUUCAGAGUAGUAUUAUUUCCAGCGCCUGAUGUGUAUAUCGGGCCACUGCAGAAUUUUAGUAUUUUCGCACUCCUGAAUUCGCAUGAAAAAUAAUAGAUGUGAAAUUCACAUCUAGGUACAUUUUUAUAAUUAUCAUAAAAACUGAUUAUAUACUUUGAUGAACUUAACGAAUCGAUCAAACAAAUUUCCCGAAGCUCUUGAGCAUUACGUCGAAUGAGGUUGACAAGGUGUACCUAAACAUAUUUUCAAAGUUGUAUUUUAAAUUUUAUCGCCUACCUAUAUACAGUUAAAACAUCUAAGCAAGUUAAUUUUUUGAGUAUCGCUCGAAGAAUGUACAAUUCAAUUCUAAUAAACGGUGUUUUUCAUCAAUUUUAGACUCUGAAAGAAAAAUAUUGUUAUAAUAAUGUAUCAUACCGUAAUACUCUUAUACUAUUCCGGUUUAAAUUUUAAACUUCAUAACCGAUAUUGACGUCAAGUACUUGUGUAUAAGUUAUACCCAUCAUGUAGUUGCGUACAAUUUCUAGACAGUUAUCUUCUUUUAUAAAAACCGUGGAUUUGAAAAUCAAUACAUUAUGGUCGAUACCUAUAUUAUUUUUUUUAUGUUUAUGGGUCAAAUUUUGAAAAAUAUACAUAAUAAUAAUACAAUGUUUGUGUAAAUGUUCUGAUUUUCCGAAUGUAUAAUAAAUGACAAAAACCACUAGAAAUCUUUUUCGUACAGACGAUCACCCUGUAUAUAUGUAAUAUAUAUAGUGUACCUACAAGUUACUACGCGGUGUGUAUUUCGGCGACAAUGAAAUCGGGUAUACAACGUCACCGUGUCGUCGGUAUCUUCCGCAGCGUCACAUUUUUUUAGUUCUUUUUUUUUACGGUCUAUCGUGCGCGCGCGAAGGCGGGCAACAAAAAAACAAUACGACGAAAGCAUGUACGGUAUACGGUCCAAUGAAUCAUUUUCGAUACACGUUUUGCAAUAAUAAUAAAAAUAUAUUCGCUUCGGAAUACCUACGGAGUAAAAUAUAUAUAUAUAAAUUAUAAAAAAAAAAAAAAAAUGUCCGUCGGCCGUCGUUAGAUGAAUCAUCCGCGAACGAUACUAUAUAAUAUUAUGUAAGUUUAGAUUUGGCGUAUCGGACGGCGUUUCGUCAUUUCUCGACCGGAUACGGACUUCCCCCGUCUGAACGGUAUUAUUAUAUAUCCGCACGACAGGCAAAAUAUAAUUCGGUAACACGAUUUACGGAAAUCUUUUAUAGAGAGAGAGAUAGAGAAAAGGAACUAUUCUCGUGUCUCGAUUGUUACUCGAUGUGUAACUAAACGUCGCGAUUUUUAGAUAAAUACUUACGUUCUUCCCCCUCCAGUCGUAGGGGACUGAUCGCGAGUUGGUAUAGUUGGUAUAACUGAUACAGUUGGAUCGAUGACGUCAAAAGUGAAUCUAAAUUGUAAUUAUAAUAAUUGUCGUGAAAGAACGGGAAAUGAUAACUCAUGGUAUCACUAUCGUAUAACGUAUAACUGACGUGUCGCUAAUGACUCAACGGUAAUUUGAUGUCAGUAAACGUUGAAAUCGUGAAGUAAUAAUAAUAACCUGUAAAACUUUCAAAUUUUCUUAUUUUGUUCGGUGAACUUAUGUUUGGAUUUCUACGAAUAGAUGGAUUUCAGGUGCAUCGCGUGUUCGAAACCAGUUUAAAAUGCAAAACCAACUCCUAUAUAACACUAUGAUAGGAUAGUCCAAUUUAAUAGGGUUUUUUUUUUUUUAGUUUUCGAUGUCACUGUGCGUUUUUUUUUAAACUAGUGCGAAUUUACGCAAAUAAAAUUUAAAAUAGAACAUUUUACUAAAAAAAAUAUCCUAAUUUAUUAUUACAUAUAUAUAUUUUAUAGCUUUACGAGCAAUUUUUGACUUUAAGCCACUAUAUAAAAUUAUUAUAAACGUUUCCCAAUUCCCAGAUUAAUGAGCUGUGCAAAAAUUCCGUCCAGUCCAUUACGAUGACGGCUAAUAUAAAAAGGCUCGGCUUGGCUCUUGAACCCAAUCGAAUUAUAAAAUACAAUUUUCAAAUCGCGUGUGCAAAAUACGUCUAAUAUCACACACGCGUUUGUAGUGGAAGUAGAGGAAUGACAUCAAGGCCGGGUGAAGUUUACUAGCUGUUUUUUUUUUGUUCUACGACUUAAUCAAUCAGCAAUAGAAUAAUAUAUUCCUCGACGACAAAAUAAUUGCAUAAUAAUAUCGAUUUGAAAAAAAAUGAAAAUAAAAUAAGAACGUAUUUUCGAGUAAAAGCUAUAUAUGAAUAAUCAAAGUUAUUAUAAUAUCUACCGAGAAUAACGAGUCUUUAUAGUUCAGACAUAAUUUAUUAUUCCGUAAUUUUAUUUAUGAAUUAUUAUUAUAACGAUAAAAUUAAUAUUUCUUAUAUAUAAGUGUUAUAAUAUUAUAGCGAAACUAUUGUAACUUUUGAGACGUUUACUAAUUUAGUCGACAAUAUAUACGUUAUUUAUAAUUUGCGUAAGUGGUAGGUAGUGCAUAUAUAUAUAGAAAGAGAGCUAGGUUUUUUUUUUUUAUAUAUAUAUUAAGUGUAUUUUAACGAAGGCGAGCGGAUCAAUUAAUCAACGUUUAACGACGGUUGAUAUCAUUAUAAUUUUAAGACCUUCGAAAUGUCGCGACGUUCUUUAUAAAUUAAUAUCGUGAACGAUAUAAUAGAAAUGGCCAAUUUUAAGAUUUUCCGACGACUAUAUUAUAGACCAUUAUAUUAUACUUUUCGAUGACCCGCACGCGUAUACUUUUUUUUUAUUAGGUAACAUUAUUGUUGCGUAUUUCAGAUCGACGAUAACAACAUCAAAGGUCCCGCCACCGCGAUUAACGACGCACCGCGGUUUUCCAUCGAUAAUAAUUAAUAUGUGAUAAGACGACCCUUCCCCCACUCAAACUUAUUGCACUCUUACGUACACACGGAUGUACAUGACGUAUACAAUAAACUAGAUUGCCAUAUUAUUAUAAUCACAUUAAUGGUUUCGGCUAAAGCCGCACGGCAGCCGUUAAAUUCGAGGCCCGUGCCCUUGGUGUAUACUUUUAUAUUGUGAUAACUGUUGAAUCGGUCUUUUUACCGCGGUGACCAAGACCGUGAUUGUACAUUCGGCACGAUAUAAAAGUGAUAAGGCUAACUAAAUUUUUUAUCGCCAUUUCAUUCGUAGUAUCCACAGUAAAUACUCUUAUUUAUACAAUUUAUAAUAAGGUCCUUUUUUGCUCUAAACUUAGUCGGAGAGUCGCAAUCGUAGGAAUGCGUGUGUUACUAGCACAUGUCCGACAGGGAAAUACAAUGUCACAGUGAAAAAGCCCCUUAAUAAAUAUCAAAAUACUAUAAUAUACGUUAAAAAUAAAACUUAAAAAACGGUCGAUUUACUUGCAUACAAUUUUGUUUUGAAACAACACUAGUAUCACUAGAAAGACUAAUCUUUCUAAAAACCUAUAUGUACCUAUAUUGUAUACAUAGGAGCAAAAUUUUUAGGAAAACGUGGUUGGAUGCAGUAGAAGAUAGGUCUAAAAACCGUAGGAGUUGAUAACUGGAGAGUAGUAAAGUGUAGUAACGACAAAAACUCUUAAAGACUAAAGAGAACAUGCCGGAAGAAAAAGACAUUUGGGUACCUUUAUUACAAACAGUAAAUUUGUAAAAAUAUUGAGCGAGUGUCGGAACCGCGCAUAUAGAAUGCAAAAGGUAACAUUUCGAUUCGAGACUUUUAAUUAAAACGUAAUAAUUUAAUAUUGAUGAUCAGUGCUGUGUCCGAAAUUGUUGUUUUAAUCCACUCUAAGUACACGGACGAACCGGGCGAAGGAACGUUUGCAAAGUGGACGACGCUAAAAUCGGAUUAUGUGCGCGUGAAAGACAAUAAUUAAUCCGGUGGUAUAUUUCUCAUUUAUUUGUACGAGUGCGAGUGAACUCUCCUAUUACCUACGUACCCGUACUAGAUUAGGUAUACACUUGUGUGGUCGAAAAGCGAAGGGAGGACGAGGUAGUAUAUAGAGCUGCAGCAGGCACGAGCGGAAUGGACUUGGAAAUCGAAUUAUUAUCGAGACAGGACAUUCUAUAAAUUAAGUUAUAGAUAUAUAGUCGUGUUGUCAAUUAGUUGAUUUACGCUUAGGUGCAAACGAAAAUGACCUAAUACCCGACAAAUAAUACGGAGACUUGUAUUAUUUCUCGAACUAAAUAAUAAUUUACUAUUAAAACUGCAGUCUGCAAUAAUAAUAAUAUAAAAAUAACAAUAGUACUAAGAUCACGAAAUCGAAUAAAUACGACGUUUAAAAUUAUUAUUUUCCGGCUAAACUUCAAUCGAGAAUUCGGUUAUGGUCUGCAGGUCGAUGCGAAUAAUAAUUAGAUUAAAAUAUUGUUUCCGAAUAUCUGUGCGUGUAUAUUUCCUACAGAAUCGAUGGGAGUUGCGGUUAAAUGCAAAGCGCACAUGCGCAUAUGUAGGGUCAAAGGGGAUAAUACUUAAAGCUGAGUGAUUGUAAAUCCCACGAUUAGAGGAUUACGUACCUAUACUGCAGGCGAGAGGGAUAACGUUUAAACUUUUAAAACAUUUAUGUAUUGUGAUGCUGCGGACGACGAGGAGACUCAACAAAAGCCACCACCAUCACGUGAAAAUGUUCCGAACUUUCGAAUAAAUAUACACGUAGAGAUACAUUACCGGGUGGGGGGUGGCGGUAGUGGCAGUGGCGGAUUUCCGCUGUAUAUUUUAUAUACUAUUCUACGUCGUUUAAUUUGAGAUCGCAGACGGUGACGCGAACAUAUGUCGUAAGCAUAUUCUAUUAAAAUUGUACAACACUACGAUUUGUCACUGGGUCCAAAAACGAUAUUGUUCUAAAAUUGUAUUUCAAUUUGGUAUACUUAUGCUAUAAUGAUAAAUUCUAAACCGAAAUACCUAACCAAAUCUAAAUAAACAAUCCACACCGAGAAAAUCUGAUUAGAAUCUUUAAUCGGUGUUCAAAAAGAUAAUUUGUGUUUAUAAUAUACAUUUUGAAUACAUAUACUCGUACAGUAUAAAGUUUUUAGAGAAACAAUAAACCGUCGAAAAAAAAAAAUCAGCUACAUCCAAAUUUGAUAUUGCUCUAACAAAGUCAGUGUCCUAUAAGUGAAAACAGUCGUUUAAAAUUACCCACUUCGGAAUGAAAUAAUAAUGGAGGUUGUAAAAUGAAAAAUGCCACGUUGGUCACAUUUUGAUGUAGAAGAGUCGCGUGGCAACAGUAAAAUGUUAUGUCUAGCCGUGUGACGUUGCGGAUUAUAUUUGAAAAAUAUUUUGUACGCGAUUCGAUUUGAUAACUGUUAUCGAAUUAACGAUAUAUUACGGUAAUUCGACAUUAAUAAAUUAUGUUCCACGUCAUACUAUAUAAUACCACUCGUGGAUUGCGAUAUCACUGACCGCGUUUAGUGUCAGAUAAAAUACGUUACGAUUCUCAUAAUCAGCCGUCAUCUUUAUCGAAUAUUGAUGAUAAGCUAAAUUAUACAAGUGCAUUAAAGAUUAUACUAAUAGUUCCAAGGAGAUUCAAUAAGUUUAUCACUUAUCUAUGUUAUUAUUCGCGAAUAGUUAUAUAUUAUUUAUAUAUAUAUAUAUAUACAGGGUGUGUUUCUUUGAGAAGGGCAUCUAUUUAGAGAACAAUUAAAUUUUUAGUUUUUUUCCUUAAUCACACAAAAAAAAAAAAAAAAAAAAAAAAAAAAAAACUAAUAAAAGUAAUGAAUUUACCGUGCUGAUUUUGAAUCCUUAUCGGGUUAUUCUAUUGAAAAUUAAUUGCUUUCUCGCCUAUUUUCUAGACAUUUAAACGGCUAUAACUCACAAACUAUCGAUCGAAUAUGAAUGUAUGAUGUAUUAUUUUUUUUAGAAUGAUAUCUUUUACAAAGUGGCUAUUUUGAAAAUUUUGUAAAGUGAAUAAAUAAAGUUAUUUUAUUUCUCCAGUGGUUAGGGGAUGAAAAUAAAAAUGUAAUUUUUCUCCAAAUAAAUGCCCCUUUCAAAGAAAAACAGAUUGAAAAAAAAAUGUAUUAAUUUUUAAUAGCUCUAGAAAAUCCGUCCAACACGGUAGGACACUCUGUAUAUGGUAUUUUUAAAUUAUUCCGUUUUGUCGCCUGAUUUGCGUUGCAGUCGUCGUGGAUUUAAAUUUGAAUAAUAGUGUCACUAUUAUAUUCUAAAUGCUACCGCAGUAGAAUGUCGUGGAGUAAAGGUCUCCCCCACACUAACCGCCGAUCACAUUAUAGAGGUUAGGUUAGGUUUCUCCGUUCGUGUCGAGACGGCGGCUAUAUUAUAUUAUAUUAGCGUUGAUAAAAUAUUGUUAAGUGUGACGAAAUUAUCGUUGUCGUAUAUACCUACGUUAUAGAUGACGUAGUAUAGAAUAUCGUAGAAGUCACGAUUUUCAAUAAUGUGAAAUGGCUAUGACGUAAUCGGCUGUCUGCGCAGAGCUCCGCGGGCACGAGUCGUUGCACAAGUCUUUUGAAAAUUACAAAUAAGUAAUAUACAUAAUGAACCUAUAUUGUAAUUGGAAUAACGAUUAAAAUAUGUAAGCAGAAAAAAAAAAAAACAAACGGAUAUGCUUCGCACGAUUGGUGGGCCACUGUUGUAGGUGAGAACUAAGGAAGAUAGGGGGAAAAUUUAAUGUAUAUAUAUAUAUAUAUAUAUAAAUAUUUGUACGCAAACACUACUAAUCAAAAACGAUUCUGAGCGGAGGUCGGUUGUACAUGUUUCCAAAGGUCGUAAUAAUUACGAUUUGAAAAUAAUGCAUUUCGUACAUUUUCUCGGAUUUUUCAAUUUAUUGUGAAAACUUCUGGGAAAAUCAAAAAAUUUCCCUAAAGUACCGACCCAGUCAGAUUACCUUUCAGAAAAAGUUUUACACUUGAAAAUCGGUAUGUUGUAUAGUGAUAAGUAUAAGUACCUCUAAUAAGUGGUCACGAGGGGGAAAAUUUCGAAAGAAUAAUCGAGUUUUCUCUUGUAGACUUUGAUCGAUCGGUGAAGUGAGGAAUACAUUCUUGUUUUACACUCGAGGUUUACUACAUAAUUUAUGAUAUGUGAAUUUUUUUUUUUUUUUUGACGCGCAUUUUGCAUAUUUAAGUACAUUUGCCACCUUGAACAUUUUGUUGUUUUAUUAAUGACCGAAAUCUUUUUUAUUUUGUUCCAGGUUAGUAAUAAAAGUGUAUACAAUGCCUACGGGGAUUUGUUCUACGAAAACAAAACGUGUAAGCAAACGUCUUCGAAAGUGUAGUAAGUACAUAUGCAUAUAUACUUGAAAAAUAUGUAUUCUACCGGUGUUUGGAGGCUGAGAUUUUAAUUUCAAAAACUGUUCGUCAUUAGCGUACUAUUAUUUUUAUUAGUAUUUAAGAUCGUUUAACGUUCAAAUCUCUGUUCGACUUAAAAUUCGAUAAAGUUCGUUUAGAACGCGAACAAUUAUUUCGAAAGGUUUUAAAAAUUUUUCUUCUUCUGUUAUCUUUACCGUUCCUUAUGUCUAUGGCCGACACGCGUCAAUUACUAAAAAAAAAUAACAUUUAAAAACUACUUAUGUAUUUUACAGUUGAAAAUCAAUAUGACGUUUUCGAUUUGAAUUUAAUGAAGAAAAAAAUAUUGUAUGACCGAGCAGUCAAAACAGUAGAUACCUAUUUUGUCGACUGUAAUAAUUUAUCGUUGAUUUUGUAAGUGCGGAAAAAAAUGGUCUCGUGUAUAAAUAUAGGUAUUUCUUUAUGACCUUAUUUAUAAUCGUGUUUUUUAUCGUACAUAUGUAGAAGGUCACGUCGAAUUCAUAAAUAUUACGUAUGCGGGAGUCUUAACUUUUCCCUAUCAGGACAGUAGGUAAAUAUAUAGGUAGUACACAAUAACAAUAAUAAAAUACGUUUCGUAAGUUUCCUCGUGUUUUGCUCGGGAGUUAGUUAGGAAUUUAAAAAAAAUGUGUAUUUCAUACGAGUAUUUUUCUAUUAUAUACCCAUACAGUUCGAAUAUAUUCAAAAACGAAUGGAUAUUUUCCGGAUCACUGAAGUACCCAUAGACAUAAUAAUACAAGAGUCGUCAACAAUAGCCAUUUUUCGCACGGACUUUCCUCACGGUUUUUAUAUUUUGUAUUUUAUAAUUGUUUUCUUUUUUUUGCCUAACGAUUGUAUUUCGCUUUAUUAAAAUAUUUUUAUGUAUUUUAUAAUAUUUACUAUGAAAUCGUUUUAAAACGAAUGCAAUUUCGAACGGAAAAACGGUAGGAAAAGUUUGGACGAUAAAUGGCUGCUAUAUCUGCAGUCUUUCACUCUCUUCGGGGGGGGUAUUUAAGAGGGUAGAUUAGGGAGAUACAUCUCGCCCCUUGACAUUUUUAAUAUUUCAAAAUUCAAUAUCCCUCCUUGACAAAAUAUAUCUAGGCUUUCUAAGGUUAUACCCAUACAAUAGUAUUACAACAUUUUGUAGGUAUACUUAUGUUUUUUUUCCCUUUCGUCGUUUAUCGAUGGUCAAAAUUAAAAUCGGUUUUUUUUUCACCCGCGUGUAUAAACUGUGCAACGGUUCGAUUGUACUCGCGUGCAGUAUAUAUAUACUCGUAUGUUCGUAAACUCAUCGCAGCUUUAUUAUGUUCCCCUUUUCCGAUUGUUUUUCAAACGAACCGGAAAUUCUUUCACUCUGUAUACGUUGUUCAUAUAUGGAAAAAUACUAUACAAGUGCAUCACUCGUGUCCAAAUAUCAUAAUAUACCAGUGCAUUAUAAUACGUAUCGCGCAAUAUUAUUAUCGGUCCGCGUAAUAACGGGUCGUAUAAGUUACAAAUAACGCGGGGCCGAGCGUAUAGACGGGGGUCUGGAAGUGAUACGUAGCGCUAUUUCUCUGUAUUAAUAAUAAUACAACAGCACACCUCCCCUUUUACCCCGGCCCGCACUUUUGUGCCCGAAGCGAACACUCGAUAAAUAUAUAUUAAGGGGAAAGGACGCGCGCGCGUGUGUGUGGAAUGUGUGUGUAUGUGUGUGUGUGCGCGCGUGCGCUUGUAAUUUCACUGCUCGGAUAGUCGUAUUAGUAUACAUUAUAGUACUGUCUCCUUAUCUCUGUCUUCCAUUUUUUUUUUUUUUUUUUUUUUAUAAAAAUAUUAUGUUACAAAAUAUUACGUAUCUAUAUAUACGUAUCUCAGUGAUUUUUACGCUCGUUAUUUAGGCGGUAUAUGUAUAGGUAUUAUCUUAAUGUUAUGUAUAUGAGUAUAAUGAGUUUAUUAUAAUGUAUACCUACCUACGUACGUAGUAUUUAUAUAUAUAUAAUAGAAUUCGUACAAAAACCGUUUUAUUUAUUUUGCGUAUCGUCCAGUGGCGCGCGCAGGAAGGGUUAUAAAUAUAUAUGCCUCCCAUCGGCUUAAAAAAAAAAAAAAAAUACAAUGACUGUGAGCAUAAUAUAAUUUAGUAAUUUUAUCUCGAAAUUAAAAUACGUUGCAGCCAUAAGUUAUAAGGACAAAAGAAAAUUGUUCGUUUUAUUGGUUAAAAAUCCGCUUUUUUUUUUUAAUCCGGCUUUUAAAUUCUCAUUGUACGAAGAUUCUACGAUUUAUUCGUGAAUUAUAAUUACUAUUAUUUACUAUACCAUCUCUCAUUGAAAAUUCCUGGGCACGCCACCGGCAUUAUUAUAUCGUUCACAUUAUAAAAUGUACUGCCGUCGAAAGAACAUGGAAAAUGUAUUAUUUAUAUUAGGUACGUAGGUGUAAAAAAAAAAAAAACUCCAUUCUUAUAAAAAUCAUUUAAAAUAAUGUUUUCAAUGUUCAGUAUCUUUUAGAUACAUCGCGUAGAACAAUUUUGGUGAUUUGUUUUUGUCCUAAAUCCACACAAACACUAAUUCUUUGUGUAACGUGCAGUAUGUGAACAGCCACGGUCUAUAACCUAACAUAACAAUCACGUACUUAAUUCUGUAAAAUAUCAUAUUCAAAUUAAGUUUUAAAAGUAAAAAUAUUUGUACAUGGAAAAAAAAUUCAAACCGAUCGUUUUGGGCGUCGUCCGGUCGAGAUUUUUGUUUUACUAUAACAUUGGCGGUAUAGUUACUCACAAUCUUUAUAAUAUCAGAAAUGCGUUAAAAUAAUGGCGCAAACGUCUAAAAGUCAUAUAUUACCCAUUGAAAAAAAAAAUUAUAAUACCUUAUUAUAAAAUUAUUUGGAGCGUUCAAUUUCACAAUAACGGGCAUUCGUCAAAACGGGAUUUGUCUAAAAAACAAAUUUAAAGGUAUCUGUAUAAUGUAUAAUAAUUUUUUGAAGUAUAAACUAUACUUGGAUUAGAGGCUUACGGGUGCGCGUUCGUCCGGCCUCGAAUACCCGUUGUCAGUACUAAUAAAUAGCCUCUCGACUAAACCCCUUAUUUUUCUAACUUGACGUGAAAUAUUUUGAUCGAGUUUAUGUAUUAUGUCAAAUAAAAAUUACUGAACAAAAAUGUUUUUCAUUCGGUUAUUUGCUGGUUGUGACGUGUCACAUGCGUGAUAUAAUUAAAAAAAAAAAAAAAAAAUAUAAUAUACCAUAAUAAUAUUAUAAUUAAAUAUGUUUAUGUAUAAUUAUAUACCUAAAUUAAUUUAAUAAUAUAAUAUAUAAUUUUAUAAUAAUCGAACUAACCGAAGUUAUUGAAUAUCAGUCGUUAUAGUGACUAUAUUUUACAAAUAGUAAUUAAAUCCAAUUAAAUUGUUAUAAUAUUUUUUAACAAUAUUUUAGAUACGUGCGCACCACGAGAAAUUUUUCUUGGGUGUGUCAAGUCCGCAGGAAAUUGUCCAGGAGACAUGUUAUUUAUAAUGAUAAGUGUAAUGUUCCUCCCCCCUCUCCUUCCCCCCCUGUACACUUUACGUUCAAUGUUUAUAGCGUGUUUCCGAAAAGUCACCGUGGCCUACGCAUGCGAUACGGUUAUCAUAUUCGUUGGCUUUUUUGUUUUUUUCCAAAUUUAUAUAAACGAUAAACAAAAAUAUUGGAUAUAUUAUAUGCUUGAACUUUUUACCCGGAUUUUUCUAUAGCCUUUAAACCUUUUCGUACCGUCCUAUAAUAUUAUCUGGGCGUAACGCGCGUAUAUUUCGAUUAACCGGGUCUUAUAUCAUUCAUUAACCGGCCCCGCUGCUGCAACAGAUGGGAUUUUUCUCCCCUCCGCGUUCCUCUAUAAUGUAUAGGCCCACUCCGCCCGUAUACCCGAAAAUACGCGUAUUAUUAUUACGUAUAUACUAUAUUCUCGAAAAUCGUUCGUAUAAAUAUAUUUUUUACUGCACAAUAACGUCUGAAGCGAGAGAGGACAUAAAAUCGAAUGUAUGCGUUUAAUAUAUUACUACUUUAAAAAAAAAAAAAUUAUUAUUUUUUUUUUUUAUUAUUCGAAUAAUAUGUUUUCUCCGUUCGUUGUAUUAUGCACUUAUUAUGUAUUAUUAUAUAUAGUGUCCGCCGCUUCGGGACCGGACUGAUUUAUUUUGGUUUUCGUAAAGAAAAAAAAAAGGGCAAAAAAAAAAACAAAAAAAACUACCAACGAUAAUCGCAUCAUAUAACCGCACGAGUUUCGAAUUUUCGAACGUCACAACGUAAUAUUAUUAUAUAUCGUAGUCAUUCGAGUACUGUUAAUUUCUAUUAGGUAUAGGGUAUAUAUAAAAUAAAAUACAAUUAAAAACACGCCGCCCACGCACGUUUAACGGCUUCUCGGCGUACAGUUCAGUCAUUUGCGGCCGGGUCGCGAGUCAAGAGACUGCCCGUAUACACCUACCACACUAUAUAAAUGUAUAUAUAGUCGGCUAGAGCCGUUCGUCAUUAUUUACGGUAUAAAACGUAAUUUUUCAAGUGCAUUAUUUUUAUACUAUUCUGGUUUCCGACGUUAUAUAGUGCGGACGGUCCGACAAUCAUCACGCGGUCAUCGCAACAGCUGCGCGGCCUCAACAACACGUCAGCUCAUUUGACUGGAAUCGCAAUUAAGCCGCGAAUAGAAAUCUCGAAACGAAAAAUGUCAUUAACAAUUAUUGACUUACGCGCAUACGUAUGAUGAUGACGUGAAUGCGUCGGAGAUGAUUUACACUGAUUCAUUAACGAACCAAUUUAUAUUUUAUUGUCAUGAAAUCCGAAAACAAAACGGAAUUCGUCAUCGACACUUUCCGGUUUGUUUUUUUCUUGCCGGAGAUUUAUAUUUUCAGAAUACGAUAAAAUCUUUUUUCGUAUAUGACGAAUUUGUGUUACGAUGACGAAAAAUUAAAACCACUUUUUGUGACACUGAAAAUUUGUCGAGUAUCGAUGACGUCACCGCGUGCGUGCGAAAGUCACACGAGUAUGAGGAAAUAUCGCCCGCUCGCAAUUUCUUCUCGUUUGUCAUACGCAUUUGAAAUAUUUUCGACCAGUCAUUAAAAACGGUCGCCUUGUACUAUCGUUUAUAAAUAUUUUAAACACGUAUAUACACGUGUAUAAUAUAAUAUUAUAUAUUAUUAUAUAGUUGUAGGUUAGGCGGUUAGUCGAAUCGCAACGAUGUUAUAACCCUCGUAUACAUACACUCGUAAAACUGCAUUGUGGUAGGUAAAAUUUUUUUUCCUCUCGGUAAAUUUCAACUGUGUACAAUAUAAUAUUUACGUGUAUAAUAAAUUUCCACGUGUUUUAUCGCGUUUAUCGUGCAUUGUUGUACGCGGGGUCGUCCAAGACGUUUAUUGUACACACGUACGGUCGUUAUUAUUGAUCGUCGAAUAACCGAAAAAAAUAAGAAAGAAAGAAAAAAGGUGAUGCAGGCUACUUUGUGUCUGUUGCGAGGCGGGUGCGUAUGUCGUGCCGGGUCUUUUGUCGAUUUCUGCGGGGCUUGGAUGUAUCGUCGUUAAACCGUGUACGUAAUAAUUGAAAAUAUCUCGAAGAAUUUCAAAAAAAGAAAAAAAAACAACACGUUAAAACGUGAGAUAGCGCCGAAUAUCUUUGAUAAAUGACCGCGAGCGAUUAUCACGUACGAUCAUAUUAUUGUUGUUAUAAUACUGGAAAAUCGCAAACGGUUGUUUAUUUCGUUGGAAACUCAACAGGUGUCCGGGUUAGUUUGAACACGGUCGCGACGAGGCGUAUUUUUUUCCCAGGAGAGGACAAACUUCUCGGCGUUUAAUAUUUAACAUGAUGAUAUCGUUGUAAAUCUCGCGCGGUUUAGAUUGUUUUAACAAUAUUUUUAGUGGGGAUUGCCGCAGGUGCAGCCGGGGCGUAUAUUUCAGUCGAGUAUCAGACAAAACACUGUAGCAUUUCGUGUUUGACAGAUAUCAAUAUUUUUAAAUCGGAUUAUGAUUCAUUAUUUGAUUCAUCGUUACUAUAGGCCGGUGCAAUAGAAACGUAGCAAUUAUUUUACUGGAAAACGUAAAAAUUGAUUGUAUUUUCGAAAAUGUAGAUAAAUGUGUAUUUCGCCUUUUAACUUAUUAUGACGAUGAGAUAAUUCAAGGAAAAAAAAAACAAUAAUUCCGACGUAUAUAGUAAAUAAUAACCUAGAAGAAUGUAAUACGUUUUCAAAAUUUAAAUCCGUCCGAACGCAAUUCCUACCGUUUUGUCUGGCUUUUCGGUAUAAAACGCAUAAAAAAUGCAUUACCCGUUUAAUGGACAGUAAAUUAACGCCAAAGCCUUAUUAAGAUGACCAUUAAAAUGUUUACGAAAUUGAAGAACAUUUGGCAAACCGUCACCGAUCCUCUUAUUAUAAAUAUUUGUAUAUACAAAUUACCUUUAAUCGUUUUCUCCGAAAUUGCGUUUUGGAGCCAGCAAACAUUUUUUUUUUUUUUUUUUACAACUUAAUUUAAACGUUAUUAUUUAUUCGUCAUUUCUAGAGCGCGGAUUUUUAUGUAAAAACAUGUUUUUAAUGGAUAUAUGCACAAUCAUUAGAGUAAGGUAUGUCAACGAUUCACAGUACAAAGAAUCUGAAUACAAAAUUGUAUUUUGCAUAUAUAAGUGCAUAUUUUGAUGUUAAGAGAAUAUAUUCAUAUAAAAUCAUUUUUUUUUUUUUUUUUGCAUAUUUGACUAAUUAAAGAUUUAUGAAUUUAAAUAUUUUCAGGAAUUAAAAAAUUAUGUAUAUUUCAACCGGUGUGAUCAAUUUUUUCUAUUUUAUAAUAACUUAUUAAUGGGUACAUCCUACGAUAGGUAGUUUUUAAUGUCAUUACGAUUUGAUAAUUGGCAAAUAAUAAUGAAAUGCGAAAAUUAUUAUUUUACUGUUUAUCAUACUACGAAUACGGUAAAUGAUGUUGAUACACGUUCUGCUAGUCGAAUUUUUGAUAUCUAGUUAUCAUCUAGUUAUCUAGUUAUCUAGUUACCUGAUAACAGCUACCUACGGCCCGAAUAAUUGAUAAUAAUUUGUUACUGCGUAAAUCAUAACAUGUUUUCCUCCAGUGAUGACGAGUUUUUGUUUUGUAUUCAAAGUCUAAAAAAAUUAAAAAUCAUUUUUUUUUUAUACUUUUUGUCUGUCGUGCUUUGAUUUACAAGUUUUAAUUUAAUAAAAAGCCGAAAUAACGAUCUAAAAAAAUGAGUUUAUUAUUAUUUUAAUAAUGUUAUUGAUUUUGUUAAUUAUUAUUUAUUAUAUUUGUUUUGCGUAUAAGUAUAUAUUUUAAUGUUAAAACAGUAUAUUAAUAAAAAAACAUAUUUUUGCAUAUUUUAAUAAAAUUUUUAUUAAUAUUUCUAUAAUAUUAUCGUAUACAGGUGUUUCAAAGAACAUUUGACAAAUGCAAUAACCAUUGAAUUUCUACAAUUUUUUUAAUUUUAUAAAAAUCACUUUAUUCAUAAACAAAUUUGGUGAAUCGAUUAAUGUAUUAUAAUUUACAAAUGGCAAUUGAAACAAUUUUAAUACUUUAUAUCAUAUUAAACACUUAAAAAAAUAAUGUCUACUAUUAACGGCUCGUCAACUAAUAACACAAUAACGUUACAUUAACAUUUUGUUUCAAAAUAAAUUUACAUGGACCAUCUUGGAUUUUGUAAACAUACAUGUUUAACAAAUUUAAAUUUUAAAUUUUUUUGUUUUAAAAAAAAUGUAUAUAAAAUAUAAUAUUCAUAUAGCGCAAGGCUUUAAGUAAUUAUUACAAAAAAUAAAACAAUAAAAUUGCACGAAAUAUCUAAUAGAACAAAAAAAUGUUAUUGCAUUUAUCAGAUCUCCGCGGGACACCUGUGUAAGUUCCCCAUUGAAUGCUUGGUUUUUUUUCCUUCAUUUUUCGGUUUAUAAAUUUAUCCUUCAUAUUUGCUUGACUGGGUACACAAUAUUAUGAGCGGUUUUCGUGAUUUAUAUAUCGUACGUGUACACUGCAGGAAAAACUGCCAAGGUCUUUCUUAUACCAUUGAAACACCGUGACCGAUAUGUACGUCUGCGAAGAACACGAUGACUACCAUGACGGUCAUCAAUCGUUUAGAACGAAACAGUCGAACGAUAAUAAAUUAUAUUAUUUAUUAUUAUUAUACGUUUCGAAAUAUAGGUUUUUUUUUUCUCGAAAAUUAGAACAAUAAUUUAUUCUGAAAUUAUUCCCUAUUACCUACUGUAAAAAGGUCGAAAAAAAAAUUGUAUUGUAUAGUUCGUAAUAAUAUAAUCAUAUUAUUAGCAAAUCAACUAGUUUAUCCAUCAUUUAGACCUAUUUAUUAUUUUUCACGUAACGAGGUUGAUUAUUUCGUCGAUCCUCGUCAUUAGUUAGAAAAGUACAAAAAUCGUGUUACGUUAAUUUUUAAGGAUGUCCAUUUUUCCGACGAUUUUGAUUAUAAUAUCCUCCUCGUAUAUUCCAAAAUAUAAUCACUAUAAUCGUUAUUUGCGAUGAUUUUCGAAGUAAGUAUAGAUAAACAAACACUGUCAUAUUGACCGCACGCCUAGUUAAGUGAAAGGAAAUCAAUGCGGUAUACUCGGAAUUUAAUCAGAGAAUCUAUUAACAUUUUUUCAUCACGACUUUACGACCAAGUAAACAGGUGCAGGAAACAGUCCAAUAAGGCUUGACAAAAAUAAACGCACAUGGAAAAUAUAAAUAUUAUCGACACGAUUAGUCGUACCUAUAACUAUUGAGUUCUAUAUAACUGAAAAACAUAUAUUUUGUUCGUUAAACGUUUGAGAAACACGUUGAUGCUUAUAUUAUAGUGAUAACGAAAAUGCAUUUUUUUUCUGGCCUUACUAUUGCGUUUUUCGCAAAAUAUUAGCUCAAAGUAUUAUACACGUAUAUUGUUAAGAUCAAUACUUAAUAUUGAAGGUAACACCAAUAGUGUCGCAUAGCGUAUAGAAUAUAAUUUGAAACCGUGCGUGUAUGUAGUUGAAUAAAUUACAUUAUUGACCUGAGAUUGGUGGUUGGUGCUCGCGGGUUUAUGCCGAGGUUUACACUGCAGCGUUGGGUAUAAUACUAAACGCAUAAAAUAUUGUGUGUACAUACUUGCCCUGCACAAUGGCCAUUAACGAUUUCUGGUGAAUUUGAUAUCUAACUGUGCAGUACUUUGUCUUGGAUUUACAUUUACCAUUAUAUACGAAUAUUACAAUACACGUCGGAUAUUUCAUCGUUUACGUCAAGUAGUGUUCUUGAAAGGGGCGAUAUCUCGUCAUUAUGCACCUGCGUCGCGGGGUUCGUCUAACAGACUACCUACCGAUCGCGGCGCAAUAAACGCGGAUGGAUCGAGGGGGUGUUAAGUUCGUGUGUUCCUACUCUCUUAGACGUAUCCGAUAUCCUCGGUCCGACAGAAAUAAUAUAUGGCUAUACCCAGUAACGUGUCCGAAUCCUAUGCAUAAGUAAUGAACCAUAACUCCGGUCAGGGUUAAAUUGAUCGCGGUGCCAUUUGAAUUAUGUAAUGCAAAAAUGUAUUUGUUUAUCAUUUUCUUCCCGAUUCAAUAGUAUGUGUACGGGUUGACUUUAUAUGCCCUACGCUGCAGAUUUUAAAUGUUGAGGUGCGGUAUUUUUUGUAAUAGUUCUAAAUAUUUCGUUUUCUGAACACGUGUUUCAAUUAUAUUUUCGUUCACGUAGUUAAACUGCAGUUUCAUAUAGUCGUCUGCUUAAAAUUUAUGUAGACGAAACAGUCAAUGUAUAUAUACGAGUAUAUGUAUGUAUAUAUUUUGAAGUAGGCACUGAUUGAUAAUUACUUUAACCCUCGCGUCUCUUUGAGUGCGUAUUGGGUGGAACACGAGCUAUUUAUGUGUUACACCUGGGACCGUUCUUCGCGGAUCGGUCGGAUUCUGGUAUUAAUUAACCCUGUCUCAGAUACCGCAGUAGAAUGUGACACUCCCUUAUAAACUCGCUUAUUCUACACUACCACUAUAUAAUAUACUCUUUCUCGCCCGCUCUGACUGAGAUUUUAAUAAACGAGGAGACCCGUGUGAUAAAUCACUUUGGAGGUUAAUAAUUUUAAAUUGGGCUUCAGCAGCAGGUACACUGCAUGAUGAGAUAAUGAACGUGUUGGCGCAGAUUUGUCUUGAUGGUUAAUUUCAUUAUUUUGGCCGUUCCGUCGUCGUAUUCCUGCAAACUGACAAAACCGGCUGUGUAAAAUAUCUUUUUAUUAUUACUAUUGGUUAAUCGUUUGCGGUAGGUAUUCAAGGGUAAAAAGACUAUACGGUCUGUUCAGACUAUGUAUAUUUUGUCUAUUUGUAUUGGCUAUACAAAUGUAAGUAGCAGGAAUCGGACGAUAAAAGGCGGAUGUGUGCAGUGUAAACCUACAGCGUUCGUAUUGGAUCAGGAAGUGGUGGUACUUAUCCACGUCUACGAGUAUAGCGGAUGAAUCCGAGUGAGAAUAAAUUAUGUAUGUAGGCACGUCAAGAAAAUAGGAAACGAUAUAAGAUUGCCAUAAAGGCGGCCGCGGUGAGAGACGGGUGUAGCUGGAAGCCGGGAAAGAGAUUGACCAAAGAAAAAGUGGUUAUAGAUGGAAUUUAAGGGCGAACGGAGUAUUAUAAUAUGAGGCGAAUAUAUGCGAUAAACAAGGAGAUGUGAUAAGCCAUAACUGCAAGAGUAUAGUUGACCCACCUCCCGUAAAGUAUAUUGGUAUGUAUUUGGUGUAAUAUUAAAUAAUAUAAUAUAAAAUAGGAGGGAUCUAAUGGAAGUCGUGUACAAAUUUUAAUUAUAGUGUAAUUGAAACACUCUGUAUACAUCGGUAUACACAGAGUUAUGAAGUACCUAUCGAGAUUGAUAAAAAUCACCAUAUUAUAUACUUUAAAGUCCCUCCUUAAUGGUGAUUGGAAUAAAUAAGUGUACCUAGGUAACAUAUUAUUUAGUCGCACAUUAUAUUAUUUUGUAUUCAUUACUGAUAUUAUUUCCCGUUUACUAUUCAUUGCGUGCCGUAUAAUAAUAAUAUUGGCUUAUUCGUUAUUAGAUCAAAAUCGUUAGCCGUAACGGUCAAAUACAAUAUUAUUAUGAACACUCGUAUUUAUUAGAAACAAUACACUCUAAAAACGUUAUUUAUAACGACUUUUAUAAAACUCAAAAUUACGAUUUAAAUAAAAACUGAUUUAAUGGUAUACGAAAAAAAAUGACUAAAAAAUUGACAUAUGCGUUUUUGCUCCUCUAAAUCUUGCAGUGUUGACCGUCUCUGGUUCGAAACUGUUUUUUUUAAUAUGCACUUAUCCAUACUUAACCCUCUCCGUAACGUGAGCAUGUUUGACCACUGUGGCCUUUAUAUGCGGAGGGAGGGAAAUAUCUCUUCGAAGGGUCCCUGUUUUUAAUAAAAUAUGGAUCUUUGUAUGAUAUUGUGACAAUAUCGUUUUUUAAGAUGUCGGUCGGUCAAGGUUAGAUUAGGCUAUACAAAUUUCAAGAUUAACGGUUAUAAAGUUUAUUUAUGAUUUCCAUUAAGUAGAUAUACUUGGGUACAAAUUAUUGACAAAUCGUCUCUACAUUGGUUGUCUUGUUAAAUAUAUAUUUAUAUCUAUAUACACGUUUAUAAAGUUCUCGAAGAAUAGAUUUUAUAAUUUUCGAAAUUGCGUCGUUUUGGUUUGAUUUUUCUGUAUUAUAUUUUUAAUUUCUUUCCGUCGUCUGUUGGAUUUGAAGUAGAGUGAAAUAUAUAAUUCGUCUGUGCUUUUCGUAAAGUAAACGACGAUGACGACGACGCGACGGAGUAAACAGAAAUUGCACGCUUAAUUAAUUUGGUAUACAAAAAUAAUGUCAAUUUUCGAAAUUUACAUUAUUAAAACGGAUUUUAUUAAACGCAAAAUAUAUUAGAGCAUGCCCACGUAACUAUAUAUUUGAUAAGUAAUCUAUGAAUAAUUCAUACCUAUUUAAUAAAAUGUAUAGUAAACGCGUUUUUUUUUUUUUUUUUUUUUUAUCGUUUUUGAAGAAUAUAAUAUAAUUUGAGAUUUUUUCGGUGGUUGUUGUUGUUGUUGCUUCUGUACGCGUCAGUCUAAAACAUUUUCGAUUACCUAUACCUAUAUACUUAUACCCACUAAUAACGGUGCACAACAUUAAUAUUAGGACGACGGACAGGACCCCAUUUGCUUUGUAUAUAGUUUGUAUGUAAGUAUACGUAAUUACCCGCCUUAUCCCCGUAAUGGAGUUAAUCUGAAGGCUAUUAUAAUGGGUCCCGAUAACCGUGAAAGAGUAGAAGGAUAAAGUGUCCGGGCGGUAAACCGCCCAAUAUGUCACUAAAAAGAACAUUAGUCGUCGGAGUCGAUGUUAGAAAAUCUUUUCGGGUCGGCUUGCGAUUCGUUUUUAAUCUCGCGCGUGUCUACUUAUGAAUGUGUACCUAUUUGUAAUGUUUACCGCGCUAUAGAAUUUUUAGUCGUUUCGAAUUUGUAGCCCCGACAAAAUAAAAUAUAAAUCGAAAAAUCGUAAUGCGCCGCACACCGAACGAUUUAACCGAGUGCGGUAUCCGCAGUGUUUAAAACACGUGUACCUAUUAUACAUCGGCAGAACACGCGCACUACCCGACGACAUUUCGAUUGCCUAACGGCAUUUUAUCGUUAAUUAUAAAACGUCACUGUUUUCGAUUUAUUGUUAACUGUUCGUUCAAUUGCAUAUAAUAAUAUCCGAUUUUUGUGAUCGUGCCGGGGGAAUUUACACAGUUUUUUUUUAAAAUUAUUAUACGACUUUUAAAUGGUUACAGACCGGUUGAAACGCCGCCGAACUAAAUAUUUGAUUUACGAACCAUAUAGAAAUAAAUACAGCAUCCUGUCCCUAUAUAAAAUGUAUAGAUAAUUUGUACAGGGUGUGUACAUAAAAAAAAUAAUACAUUCACAAUUUACAUGUACAGGGACCGUGGAGUGUAACUAUAUAAUAUAAGAACUAUUAUAUAGACAUUUUAUGGGCCGUGUAAAAUGCGGGUCGAGUCAACGUGUGCGUCGUAAAUGUUAAUGCAUGAUAAAAAUAAUACUAUAAUCCAUAUUCAUUGUGUUACGAUAUUGCCGUUACAAAAUUUAUCUGUCCAAACGAUCGCGUUCGUUUUUAUUGGAUUUAUUGUCACAUCAUUUACUGUACAAUAAAAUGUGUUCAGAGUUUUCUCAAUUUUUACAAUUUAAUCUCUAAAAAUUAAAAGGUUACCCGCUUUUUCAAAAAAAAAAAAUAAAAUAAAAUAAAAACCACCCAAGUUAUUAUUUAGUGAUGAUUCUAAGUUUUUUCUUUUCAAAUGUAUACAAUUUUCUCCACGGUAUUAUCGUAAAAUGUUACCAACCUAUUAAACCGUCAUAACAAUAGGCGUAUAGUAUAACUUUUAAGACAAUAGACGGCACGUGUAUAGGUUGGUAAAUAUGUCGGGUAUUUAAUAUAAUAUUCUAAUACGUCCGGUCAAAAUUAUUAGGGUAUAAACUAUAAAUUUCAAGUUUUAUAUAUACGGUCACACUGUAUGUAUUAUAUAUCUGCUACACGAGAUUAACGUUAUGUAUAAACGAUGAAUUUUUGAAUAAAAUAUAUCAUCUUCUUCUUCAGGGUACAAAACGGUCUCUAGGACCAACUCUUCAAUGAUGUGCCUUCCAAUCUGAUCCUUCUCCUGUAUAGUUCUUCCACGUUUUUUUUAAACUAUAUCUUCCCACCGUCAUCGGUCUUCCAAUGGGUCAUUGCCCUGUCAAUUGAUUUUCCAACAUUACAUGAAGUAAUGUGUUUCGGCUCUUCCAGACGUUUCCCGCCCAUGAUAGUCUCUUAUUUCUGAUGGCCGCUACGGUCUUCUGUCUCUGUUGCAGCAAUUUUACUUUAUUAUCGUUGGUUUCAGCGUCUGUUACAGUUCCAAAACACGUUCUCGGGGUUCUAAAAACGAGAAGUCGGUUUUCCGGACCGACCGAGUCCUGCCCGCUCUUAAUUAUCAGUAUAUUAUAACGUACACACGCCGUUAUAACGUCAAAUGCAUUUUUAUAUUAUUAUUGUUAUAAAACUCGUCGUAUUCGUAUACAAGGGGUAGACAUGUCGUACGCAGCCAAUAAUCGCGAGUCGUUUAUUUAACGUGAUAUUUAUUAUGUAUAGAGUGGCCGGCCGUGGUGAUUAGGUACACGAGUACACAUAUAUAUAUAUAUAUAUCGUAUACAGUACAAACGAGGAUUCAUAAAUGUUUUAAACAAAACGGUCGACGCCAUAAUACAGCGGCAGAUAUAUUAGCGGUAAUAGUAGUAGUAGUAGUAGUAGUAGUGGCGGAAAUAUGGGAUCAGAUUAGGGCAGCUUUGAUAAAUAAAUAAAAAAAAAUCCGCUCCCAUUAAGUAUACGCGCUUUUGCAAAGACGAGCGGGCGGUCCAAAAAGAGAGAACACAUGUUCCAGACAAAUUGCAAAGGGGUCGUAUAGUCGUGUGGAUGUAUACAUACGCAAACACACACACACACACACACACACACGUACAGUCUGUUAUAUAUAUAUGUAUAUGGUAAAACGAAGAGGGACGGAACUAAGCCAUUGUGCGUAUAGUGAAAACAUUGACGGUCUACAGCCUCAUACAUAAAUCAGCAGCAUCGUACCGAUAAAUCGUCUACCCCCCCCCCACGAAUUACCCAGUCGUUAUUUAGGUUAGUUUCGAAGUCUACUAGGAGCGGGGCACGCAUAUAUAACACGUUGGAUUAUUAUUAUAUACACGUUUAUACGCUUAAUUUGUAUAGUCCGCGAUGACUGAUAAGACGGAAUCGAGAUACGAGUUUUUGUAAUACUCUCGCGUCGAACCGAACACACAACCCCCCCCCCCCCCCNCCCCCCCCCAUCGUAUAAUAAUAAUAAUAAUAAUGUGGACACGAUAAUAACGGCGGGAGCUAAGCAACGGCCUUUGUCAUGUGUACUGUUAUUAUUAUACGAGACUGGGUAUAAUUUAUUGACGAUACGCGACGAUAUUAUUUCGUAUACUCUCAAACGCCGCUGCGACGAUAACGACAAUAUAACAUUUUUACGGCCCUGCAACGACAUCUACAAUGCAACUGUUGAGUUUCAAUUUAUUAUUCGACCAUUCGUUUACGACGGUAUUCGUAUCACAGUACUUACCCAUCAUUUUAUCGAAUAUUUAUCCCUGUCGACGCCCGGAAGGCUGAGGUUACCUGCAUUCUUUCGCCUAUACGAAGUUUCGUACUCGCGUGAAACCGAUCAUUUCUUCUCGUACAUACCGAAUUUAAACAAAUAACCGAAAUCGAUUUUGACACGACGUUCCCGUUUUUUUCCGACAGUGACGCCGCCCAUCGUUCCCCUCCCCGUUAUUAGAUAAAAGCAUACAAAGAUUUCCGAACAAACGACAAAACCCCGGCGCGCCGACUAUAAAUCUAAAACGCAACAAGAAUAAUUGACCUAGUCGUCUUCUGGGCGAAAACUUGUUCGCAGAUAGAGAGAGAGAAAAAAAAUAAAACAAUUAUGUAAAUUACGUACGUACACGUCCACUAUUAUAAUAAUAUAAUUCUGUCCUUAUUUGAUCGGGACCGAGAGAGAAUAAUAUGAGAUAAAAUGUAAAAUAAAUAAGUUUUAAAAAAAAAAAAAAAUCACGAAACGAAACAAUUUGCGAAUAGAAAAAAAAAAAAUACACGGUCGGAUUAGCUUAUAUUUUUCUCGUCUUUUGUAAAUUGUUCGCGCCGCUAAAAAAGAUUGAUUAUCAUAAUAUUAAAAACAUUAUUUUCUUCUAUUUGUAUUUUUCUCUACAGUCUGUGUCCGCAUAGUAGUAGUAGUAGUAGUAGUAGUAGUAGUAGUAGUAGUAGUAGUAGUAGUAGUAGUAGUAGUCGUAGUAGUAGUAGUAGUAGUAGUAGUAGUAGUAGUAGUAGUAGUAGUAGCAGCAGCAGCAACAACAGUAUAUACAGUAUAGUAGCAAUAGCAGCCAGUGCCUUUAAUUUGUUUCAUAAAAGACCCCGCGCGCGUUGUACAGUAUAGCACUAGUGUUGUUGUUGUCGUUAUUUAUUAUUGCGCAAAUACAAGGGUUAGACCGGAGUCGUUAAAACUUCAUUAAUAUUGAUAGUAUAUAGUGUAACGUCUUUUUAUUCUUUCCCCGCCGUUUGAUGUGUGUGUGUGUGUGUGUGUGUGUGUGUGUGUAUAUUUGUAUGUAUAAAAUAUACGAUUGAGCUGUAAUAAUAACGUAUACGAUUGUAGUUUCUUUGACAAUCGGAUCAAAUUAACACGAUUAUCGCCAUAUGAUUAACGAUGAAUAAAAAAAAAAAAAAAAACCCGAGACGAAUAACGCGAAGAUACUCAUUGUAUCGGUAUGGCGAGUGUUGUUGAUGGCGUGGGCGGACGGUCCGUAACAGUUUCCUCCGUUAUCACAACACCGGAAAGAAAAAUAGAAACCGUUCUUUUUUUUUUUUCCACGAAAAGCGUUGAUUUAUCGUAAAUAAUGACGCGAAAAGUUCCUUUUUUUUUUCCACAAUACCUGUUUUUGCUUAUAUCAUAUUUUGAUCGACUGUCGUAACGGGUGUGCGAGGGGAGAGGGCGUUGAGGAACGCGUAGUCCGUUUAGUCGUAUGUCUGCGGUUUAUAUGGCGACCCUUCGCGCUUAUUUUUCGUACACGCCAAUUUGGCGCUACUGAUAAUAAACUGCACGAUACACCUGCAGUCCCAUCAUUCCAUCGUAAACCGUGCGUAAAACACGCAAUAUCGAUGGCUCGAAAGUUGUUAUGUCGGUUUAUAUUUAUUAUUUUUUUUCGCUCUCUAAUCAGGCCUCGCAAGUCUGUCGCCGGUUACGUGUGUUCUUUAUUCCUUAUUCCCGGGAGCUCGAGGCGUUCUCUGACUAGACCGUUCCGCCAUUGUCUUGGUCUUCCUCUUAGUAUUUUCACGAUUCCGCAAUCUUGAUCUUUGCACGAACAUAAUAGUUGACUCUCUGCCAGCCAAACGUACCCCGCCGAUCCUCUGGCUUUUAAAAAUUCCCGUUAUAUAUCCGGCUCAUUAAACAUCGCUCUCAACUUUGAAUUUGUCUUUUGUUAACAUAUGUAUUCUUCUCAUAGUUUCUAUCGGGCCAUUUAUUUUACGUACGACAUUUUUCUUUAGAUAUUAUUAAUCUCUUUUCGUCAGACUUGGUGGAUGUUUACGCUCCGCACGCGCGCGUCUUGAUAGUAUGUAAUCUUAUUUUUAUUCUUUUGGACAGUCUCAUUUCGACUUAAUGUACGAUGAUAUUAUAUAUACAUAUAUUUUUUUUUUUCCAAAAUUGAUUACUAUCUGCCAAAUAUUUUACAAGUCUAACGCCAUUUUUUUUUAUAAGGAACUUAUGUUUAUUUUUGAUUUCAAUUAUUGUGUUUUCGGAGAGUUCUAGCUACGCGUUUUUUUUUUUAUUCAUUAAGAUUACACGUCCAGAAAUAAUGGUAUACACAUAAAAUUGCUCAUUAAAAAAUUAUAUAUUUUUCAUGAUAUAAUAUUAAUAAUACUAUAUAAUACUAAACGCACAAAAAUACCGUAUGCAGAUAGGCACUUGUUAUUUUUUGUCUGAGUUAAGUCAUCAAUUUUGCAAACAUUUUAAUGCAAUCAAAACCUAUUAUAAUUUCAUGUUUAAAAUUAGCAUAAAUAUGUAUAUAUUGUAUGCAUAUGUAAUUGCUAUGUAUCAUCCAACAAGUCCUUUUUAAUUAAUUAACGAAAAACAUUAUAAAUAAUAUAAACAUACUAAUAGAUUUGAAAGAACUAAAAUGUUUUUUUUUUUUUUUUUAAUACACCCACGUUAUCCACUUAUCCUUUUGAAUAGGAACUAAUAAAACAAAAUCUGUUAAAUUAUUUACGUGCUUUUUUUUAAUAACGAUUUGUUUUUUUUUUGUUUCAGGUAAGUUAUUAUGAAUAUUUGAUAUGAAUUUUAUCAACGAAUACAAAAUGCAAGCUAAGCCCCGUCGAAAUCGUAUGUACACCAUAACCUAUAAUCAAAACUAAACCUAUGACCUAUAGCAAAACCAAUAAAUUAAACCUCUUUUCGGAAGCCAAAAAUAAUAUAAGUACUGUAUAUAUAUAGCUCUUAUAAUAUGGUAGAGACCUUUAGUGAAAUUUUAAUCUAAUAACAUUAAUUUUCUGUUCACGCAGUUCAUUGUCUAUUAUAAUUAGAAAAUGUUUCGCAUCAAAUACAAUAAGAAUUCGUGUUUUUCCUCUUACACUCCCCGGUAAAUAAAAGGUUCAUCUCCCUGGCACCCGUAAUCGUAUCUAUUUGGAACUAUUUGUAAUCCUUUUUAAAAAAAAUUGUAUCCUCUUCAUUUUCCUGUAACCGAGAUCACGGUCUCCUCAGUACCCGUAUUUAAAAUGCCGUUUUACAGGAAAAUUAAGAGGUUACACAUUUGUUUAAAAGGAUUAAAAAUGGAUAUAAAUUAGAUACAAAAAAAUUAUAUCAACCCAAAGUCGAUACGGUAAUUUUUAGGGAAAACUCAAGUUAGGUCCUUGGAUAUUUUAUCGCUUAAAUUAAACUCGAGUUGGGUCCGUGGUAAUAAUAUUAUAUUAAAUAUGAUUUACGUAUUUUAAUACGAAAAUAAUAUAAGUUUUAAUACUAAUAGUGAUCAUUUUAAUGUUUUAUAACUAUACAAAUUGUAUAAGAGUAAAGCAAUAAAAAAAAAAUCAAAUUUUUUGGAAGACUCUAACCAACCUCCAUUUGGUGUCUCCUGGGUAACUCUUAUAGCGUAGACUAAUAUUUUCAAUAUAAAUAAUAAUAAAAUAAAUAUGUCGGGACCUAACUCGUGUAUACGUUAAAAUAUGCCGGGAUCCAAUUCAUGCCGUCGGGACCCAACUCGAGGUCAGCCGAUUUUCAAAGGCUGCCGGUGCCAGGGAGACGGUCUGUAAAAUUUCGUUUUAUAGGAAAGUGAAGGGGAUACACAUUUUUUUAAAAAGGGAUACAAACGGAUACAAAUCGGGUACAUAAAAAUGAUGUUGGUCCGAAGUCGAAAGGACGAUUUGCAGAUGCCAGGGAGACAGACCUGUAAAUAAAUUAUCUAAAGUUUCACUUAUACGACUUAAUAUUUAUACCUAUUUACAUAUUUUUUUUUAUAUUAGGUAUAUUUUACUAUCUUUAAGACAGACUAUCUAUUUGUAUAUUUUUUUUUUCAAACAAUAACUUGUGGAAACGCGAUCAUUUUCUGUUUUUUAAUUAGGGUAGGUACAUCGAGUUUAAAUUCAUCGCUAUUUUGAAACGCUAUGUUAAAACAAAUGUAUGCGUACUUGCUCUUUCCUAUCUUUAUAAAAUUGUUUUAUUUGUGAUUAAAUUCCAAUUCAAACUAUAAAUGACAUAGUUUACGUUCAUAAUGUUAUUACCCUUUAAGAUCGAAAUAGUAAAUGUGAGUACAUCUUAAUAGGACGUGUGCUACCUCCUGUGUUGAAAGAUCUACGUGUAGACAUUUUUCUCGGCAUUUUGAUAAAAAUUAUAAAUUGAUCAACUCAUAAACGUUCAAAUGUUCAAAACGUUCGAUUUUUAACAACAAUAACUUUUUUCGUAUUUGUAAUUUCAAAAAAUAAAUCCAACCAUGGACAGUUCAAGUUCUCCUUUUUCUAUGGCUUUUUCGUAUUUGUAAUUUCAAAAAAUAAAUCCAACCAUGGACAGUUCAAGUUCUCCUUUUUCUAUGGUGAAAACUUGAUUUCUUAACUAAGUCAAUAUAUAACCCGGGUAGUAUUUUUCCCGUGAAAAAGCGUUUUUUACGGGCGAGGUAAUACUUAAGGAAAUACAAUAUAUUAUUAUUAUAACAAUGUCCUGUGUAUUGAUAUAUCUACUUCAAGUGAGUGUUAAGUACACGCCGGAUAGGACAUAUUUACUUCAUAACCCUAUUCUCAGGUAUACAUAGGUACUCAAAUGUAUGAUAUUAAAGUUGAAAGUGCGUAUAUUUUACACUUACCUGCAGCCGUAUACAAGUUAUUGGUAGGUACCGUGUACGAGUUGAAUUUUUUAUGUUUCUAUAAUAUUUGUUGUUUCGUAUCUGUAGUUUCUAUAUAGUCGCCGAUAUUACUUUGUUAUUGACAGUAAAUGUGACACUAUAUAAUACGUUACAACGAUUUCCGUCGCCUUUUUUUUUUUUUUUUGUCUAUAUUAAUUUUUCUUCAUUAUUUCUCCUCAAAAAGAAAUUACAUUUAACGUUCGUGUAUAAAUCGUCCAAAAUUUUUGAAAUAUAAACAUAUAAAAACAAAGUUAUACGUAAUAAUUAUAGUUAAUUAAUAAUUAUGUUUAUGUUCGCCAUACAUAACGGUUAUUGAAAUAUUUAAACUUGGUAGUAGCUAAUUCCAAACGCUGUAAAUGUGUUUUGUAUACAAGAAUUUUAAUUAAACCAUUAUAUACGUUUGAAUCAAAGUUUUAUUCCGUUGUCGUCAUUAAAACAAUCAUUACGUACAAACAUUUUGAUGGGCAUUUGUAUUUUUGUAAACUGCAUCCAUUACGUGUUACCUACUUGAACAUAAAUCGUGGCGUUUAUACUAAAAUUUGAGUUCAGUCAUAAAUGAUAACAUUAAAAAAAAUAAAAAAAAAAAUGUAAAACUAACACACGGCUGUUACUUUUUUAUACAAAUAUAUAUAUAUAUAUAUAUAUAUUAUAAAAAGCUACGUAUGGCCUUCGGAAAUAAUAUUAUCCACGUUACAAUUUACGUUAUAACUUUAUACAUAGGAAUAUAAGAGAAACGACGUUACAGACAAAUAGAGACGGAUUUGGUCUUUUAUUAUAUAAGAUAAGAUAAUAAUAAUAUAUUGUAAGAAUUUUAUAAUCUAUCUUUUUUUUUUUUUUUACUAGCAAAUGAAAUACUUUUAUCCGUUAUGUAUUUUAGCGGAAUACAGAUGGAUUUUACAUAACUGAUUAAUAAUUGUAUUGUUCUUUUUUUUUUUUUUUACGAAUAUAAUAAUUUUAAUACAUCCAUUUUCAAAGAAAAUAUAUAGAAAAGAUAACUUUUUUUUUAAUAUUUCAGUGAACUUUGCUCCGAAUUGUUUUUUGAAACGCAUUUUUAAAUUUAUCAUCUAUUUUAGCUUUAUCUUAAAGUUUAAAUUAUCGUGAAAACGUAUUUUUUUUUUUAUAAUGUCGCGUUUAUAAAAAGAAUAAUAUGUUUUAUCAAGUAACAUAAACAUUAAAAAAAAAAAAAAUUUUACCUUGUAACAAUUUGAAAUAUUAUUUUCUUCUAGUUAUCAUAUAUUUGUGAAGGUAUAGAUUCUGUAUACGGUAUAAGUUUAUAGAAAACGCAGCAUCACGCUUGUAAUUAUCAUUGACAGAACUAAAAUGAAACACUUGCGAUUUUUUAAAUGUUUAUAAACGUGUCUUCAGCAGGGCCGCCGGAAACUUGAUGCACUAAAAAAAAAAAAAAAAAACCCGCAAAAAUGCACGAAAAUAAGGGGAAGCCCCCCCCCCGUGCAUUUUAAAUCCUUUGAAAUCUAAAGUAAAAGUUUCAUAUAGCCGAGUUUAUAAUACACGAUUUGCACAAAGGAUUUUUUUUUUUUUUUUUUUUUUUUUAGCCGUCGUUUCUGUNNNNNNNNNNNNNNNNNNNNNNNNNNNNNNNNNNNNNNNNNNNNNNNNNGUUUUUUUUUUUUUUUUUUUUUUUUUUUUUUUAAACCGUAUUUUUUCGUUUAAAGAUUUUUCCGACCAGGCGGUUUCAGGCGUAUAUAUAUACACAGGUAUAUAGUUUUAUUCGUCAAAUGUCCAAUUUCGUCAACACUCGCUUACGUGCGUUUAUACAACAUGUGCAUGUAAUUACGGUGAUCCGCCGCCGUUGUCGUCCAACGGCCGCAGCGUGUUUCCCGUAGUCCGUCGCAUUAAAAACCGUACGUUUUACCGCCGUCGUUGGAUAUCACCCCGGCGCGUUUUCCCGCGGUACGUCAACCGCGCCUGCAAACGAAUUGCGCGUAACGCGACGCUCGUGUAUGGGAUACAACGCGACAUUGCGUUAUGGUACUCCGGUCGACUAGCGAAUAACAGCGCGGUUUCGGAUCCGGCGGAAUUAUACGGCCGUGUGUGUGUGUGUGACGUCGACGCGCGUGUAACGUGUAUGCUUGCCCGGGGCGAAAGUUCCGUCCGGGGCCCCGCCAUUGUUGUUUGUCCGGAGCCAGCGCGCGCGAAAGGUCGUCGCGUGACAAAAUGCGCGUCGAGGUUAAGUGCGCCGAACGGGCGGAUUGUUCUCGCGUUGAGAAAACCGGUUGACAACGAGGGCGACGGAGUCGCAACGCUCGCGUCGUUGCAACGCCAUUAUCACGGUUACAAUAACGCGGACGGACGUGCGCGCGCGUGUUGUUGUGAUUUUCGGGCGGUACUUUUCUACGCUUAUAAAAAAAAAAAAACCAUCGGCACGUACGCCUCCCGCGCGCACUUACCGGGAACUCGUUCCCGCGGCCGUGUAAUUUGUGCGCGCGCGCGCGUACGGAUAUUUAUCAUAAUCCCCGGGUCCCUAUGUCGGGUCACACACGACACCUCCGGUUUCGGCGGCGGUACACAUCGGGUACGUGUAAAGGCGUGCGUAACGGGUACGGGGGGGUGGAGCGGUUAAACCUGUGCGCGAGUGUGCUCACGCAUGGGGGCGGCGGUUUUUCCGUUCUUCUCCUCUCGGCGGCGUGCGCGGCAUCCGAGCGCUCCUUAACCUACAGCCCGUCACGCGAUCGUCGAGCCCGCGCGACGCGAGAUUUGAUUUUCGAAAAAUAUUACCGCGCGUUUCAUUCGCGGUCACGUCGCGCGACUGAAUGCAGUUUUGUGUAUCGUACACCAGUGUACACGUACGUGCACGCGCGCGUGCGUAUAGGUACGCGCGUACGGUUUACCUUUAUUUCCACACCCUUUUCCUCUCUCUCCACCCCCCGGGGCAACGUCUCUUUGUAUUACUCCGUUUUUAUAGAUACCGAGCGAGGCACCGGGUGCUGCGGCUCCGUCGCAUCAUCACGUAUCGGUUUCUCGAGGAAUUCGACAUUUUUUUUCUCUCAUUUCGGUUGGUAAAAAAAAAUAAAAUAAAAUGGAGAUUCGAUUUCCUGUGUUUUUUAAAAUCUAAAAUAAUCCGACGUUCGACGGGAUAUUGUUGUAAAUUCGUAAUCCGGAGAAACUCUCCCCCCCCCCCGUAAAAACGCUGCAGUGUAGUAGUACGUGUAGUACGGUAAUAAUAUUCCUCCUCUGGAAACUAUCGCGGCCGAAUUCGAUUUACGUGUUUGCGUGCAUUAUAUUUUUGUGUUAUUUCGUCUCGGUUUUACGGCGGGGAAACGAAAAAUCUCCUUGUACAAUUAUUACUGUAGCGGUGGAAUUUAUUUACGACAGUGUCACGUGUACAUUGUAUAAUAUUAUAUUCGAUUUUAUACUGGACGCAGUGUUGUAUUUCGGUAUAUUGGUAUUUUUUUUUUUUUAUUAGAAUUUUAUAAUAUGAAAUUGUCUACUACACGGACGGCGGUAAAACAAAUAUAAUCGAGAAGAAAACGACUUGGCUUGAAUCAUAUAAAUUAUUAAUGCGGGACACUUAAAUAUAUUAUACAUCGGUAGAAUAAAACUAUUGCGUUACUUACGUAUGAUUUUUUUUUUUUUUUUUUUUUACGAUUAAUCCCGGAAACCUGUGUACGCGGCGAGAACGUAAUUUUUUUUUUUUAUAUAUAGAAUGUCGUUCGAGUGCGCGAUACAGAGUGUUUCACGCGCGGCGUAACAUUUGUUAUUUUUAUCACGAUCUCAUUUCAAAACGAUAACUUCGUGUAAACGGAUAUUUUGCAGAAAAAAAAAAACCCCUCGUUUAAUGCAGGUUGUCCAGCGCCCCACGAUUAUUUGUUCACCGAACCGCGCGCAACACGGCAAAUUUGCAUUAGUCAAACCUGUGUUGUUGACGCGAGUAUUAAAACGUGAAAUGAAUUGACUUAAGGAUUGCGUUGGUUUUUUAUUAUUAUUAUUAUUAUUUUUUUUUUACGAUAUUUCAAUUUUAAAACGAAAUCCGAGCGCUUUUGAGUAGUAGUGUUUUUACGUACUGUCGCGUUAAAAUUGAACCGGUUAAAAAAAAAAAAAAACGGACGUAGGCAUACCGGCGAUGUUUUUCGCCGUAUAUCGAACUUGAUAAUGUAACGGGUCAAUUAUUCGCGCACGCUUAUCGUAUUAAAUGUAGCCAACGGCGCGGGUUCGGUACUGCCGAACGUUCGUUUGCCGUGUUAGGUCGUCGGUGACGGUGGGAAAACGAACAGCGCGCCGGGGCAUGGUCGUCGUUAUUUAAACACAUUGGAUUUCCCGGUCUCCGGUUCCGCGUUUCGAUUAUCCCGCGUUUUCCUCCCGCGCGGGAUUCGACGGACGGAUGCCGUUUGUUUUUGUGUACGGGGCGUUCGCGGCGACUACAACGCAGUUUCGACGUUUUACGUCGUUAUUUUGCGUUUAUAGAGGGAAAAAAAAAAAAUCAAAAACAACACGCGCAGAGACAGGCACCCGCCGAAAUUACAAUAUCGUAUUUUUACGGCCGGCGAAGGACGAACGGUAUGUUUACUGUACGCCGGAGUUUUACAAAUUUUUUUUUUCUUUUGUUUCGCUCGCCGGUUUACCGGGAGGCGCGUCGAUAGGAAAAACGCGUUUAUAAUAAACGCGCGUGUAUAUCGAAUCGAUAUUUGAGGUUAGAUUCUAUGGCCGAUCCCGCGUUUUGAAUUCGCCGAACGGGCAAAUGCACACCCGCAGCGGACAACCCGCGCCGACGUUAGUUAAUAUUCAACGAGCAAAUAUCGCGGGGAACGUCCGGAUAGUAAAAAAAAAAAAAAAAAUAUUAAUAAUUCGUUCGGGUGUCGCGGGGGAAAAAAAAAAAAUAACCGUACGGCAAAACCGGUGUUCUCGUCUUGUGUUACGGACGUCUAUCGGAUUAUUAUUAUUUUCGGACGGGUUUUUAAAAAUCGCAUUCGCCGUUUCGAACGUGUACUCUUCGACCACGCGGCAAACAUAAGUAUUUCUCGAUUUCGACCCGACUACAAUGUGCUACUGUAUCGUUACGGGAAAAUUCGCCCGAACAAAACGCGGCGGAGAACGUAUACGAACGUGUUAGUUUGAAUUCCGUACGGUCCGUACGGGACGCAUCUAGGCGAAACGCCGUUAAAACAAUACGAUAAUAUGCCUUUAUAUUUCGUUACGACGGGAACGUUUGUUUUAUAAUUUUAGUUUCCGCGUAAAACAAUAAGCUAGGGAGCGAUUAUACCAUAGUUUUGCGCCGUUGUUGUAGUAUUAUGUGCGCAUAGUGUUGUCUGGAGGAAAGGGGGGGGGGAAAACGAAACACUUCAGGGGCCUGCAGCGUAAUAUUAUUAUGACGUCUGUAGCGGACGCGAUCGAAAAUUUCGUAUCUAUGCGAACAUUUUUUUUCCUCCUCCUCCUCCUUCUUCUUGCGUAUACAUACAUAAUACAAGUGUGGUAGGUACAGUAGUCGAACGUAUAAACGGCACUUCGGAGGAGUCGUUUUUGGAAUAUUUCCCGCGUACCCUCGGCGCCGCGGUUCGUUAUUGUUGUUUUAGCUCGUUUUGCCGUAAAAAAAAAAAAAAAAAAAAAAAAAAAANNNNNNNNNNNNNNNNNNNNNNNNNNNNNNNNNNNNNNNNNNNNNNNNNNNNNNNNNNNNNNNNNNNNNNNNNNNNNNNNNNNNNNNNNNNNNNNNNNNNNNNNNNNNNNNNNNNNNNNNNNNNNNNNNNNNNNNNNNNNNNNNNNNNNNNNNNNNNNNNNNNNNNNNNNNNNNNNNNNNNNNNNNNNNNNNNNNNNNNNNNNNNNNNNNNNNNNNNNNNNNNNNNNNNNNNNNNNNCCCCCCCCCGGGUGGCCGUUUCGAAACAAUGCGCGUCGCCGGGCCGUUUGUGUUUGUUCGCCGCGUCGUGGUAACACACUCUCGGUGUAUUGUGUACUGCGCGCGCGCGUGACAAUCUAAUUUACGCACUUCGGAACGUCCGGAUAUAUCGCGGAAUUAGCGCGCGUCUAUAGCGUAUAACGACAACAAUAAUAGUAACAAUAACAACGACAAUAAUCCGCGCGGUUACGGUGCGCACGACCCGGGACGGCCGCCGCGCCGCGUAACGUACACGAGCGUUUAUUUAUUGCGCCGCGUCGCAAUCGCGUGCGGGACCAGGUAACGCGGGGGUGGACCUUGUUUUUCAGUCGGUUUUCGAUUCCGCCGUUAGCGUUUGCCGCGCAGAUCGCGUACGGUAUUUCGGUAUCGUGCCGCGCGGCACGCGCGUACGCCUCGUCGUUUCGUGUCGCGUGUUAUGACCGGCGGCGGCGGUGGCGGUGGUGGUGGUGGUGGGGGGGGAAACGCGAACGAAAAGGGUAGCAUAAAAAAAAAAAAAAAAACCUAGGAAAACUGUUAUAAUUACGCAUAUUAUAUAACGAUAUACCCCAGUAUUUGUAUAACACGUGUUUAUAGGCAAUUAUUAUAUCGUAGGUAUUUUUUUUCUUCUUCUCAAUAAGAACGCUUCAUAUUUAUAGCAACAGUAUUGGCGUUUUGUGUUUGACGCCGUUGCCCGUCGUGUUACGUUUAGAUGUAUAGUACGGUUUAAACAAUCGCUCGUAUUAUUUCGGAUCGGCGAAACCGCCGCCGAGACGCGUAUCCACGAACAACACAUUAUCAACACGGUUGUUGUUUUUUAAUUCGGCGUCGCGCGUAAAAAAUAUACAUAUAGUGACGUGUGCGUCUCGGUGUAACGGAAUGGAAGGGGGGGGGGUGAUAUUGGGAAAACAAAAAAACAAAUCGAAUACUUCAAGUCCAUAUAAUUAUAUCGUAAUGCAUUUUUUUUUUUUUUUAUAACAUUGGCAACUUCUUGCGCAAAUCCUCAGAUAUUUUUAUGUUAUUGCUAUUUGUCCGUCGCUUUUCUACUUUACGCACGGGAUAAAAAAAAAGUAUCACAUCGCGUUUUUAUAAAUUUAUCGGGUUGUUUAUAGUCGCGUACACCUCUAUCGGAUUUAAUGCGAAUUUGUUGAAUGAAAAUCGCGUUUUCGUCGUUUUUAUGAUCGACAGUUAACACUAUAUAACUUGCAUUUCUUUCAUGCAAUAAUUUGUUGUUUACGUAUAACGUCGUGUUUUGUUCUCGCACGCUACCCGUUUUGAUUUCGACAGUUUUCGAUCAAAAACAUUAACAACAAUAUUGUAUUAAUAAUAAUAAUAAUAAUAAUAAUUCAUAAAACCAAACGAAACCUGCAAUACCGGCGGUUAUAAUAUCCGGACAUUUGCCUGCACACACGCACAAAAAGGCUAUAAGUAAUCGUUUAAUUUUUUUUUUUUUUUUUAAAUUAAAAUACGCAAUUUAUAGAUUUUUACCAGUGUUUUUACCGAGCGUACGCGAGUCCGGCGUUUUUUUUUUCCUUCUCAAAAUCGGAAUAAAUUUAUUGUAUGUACAGUAUGCUCGGUAUUUUAUUAAACUCGUCUCGAGAUCCAAUAUUUUUUACUCGUUAAAUUCGUACCCGUAUUAUACUAUAUUCAUUUUGUUCGAAAACGUUUUAUAGAGGCGUAUAUAAUUUCGCGAACUAUACAGAGCGUGUAUAAUAUAUCAGCAUUAUAGUCCUAGAUAAGUAAUAAAAAUUGUAGUGCCUAUACAUUCCGGUAUACAUCGUUGAAUUCGAAUACAUUUCGCCCUUCCACUCGGCCAGAAUUGCACGCGAGUAUCAACGUAUUUGCAUUGUACGUUAUUCAUUAAAUCGCAUUUAACCGUAUGGAAUAAAACGUAUGCAUGCAAUUUCUUCAAGUAUUUUAACGUCCCGAAUGACUGCAGCGCGCACGCUGUCCGGUUUUAGAGUUUCGAAUUAUUUUCCCGUUUUCGUCUGCGCGUAACGCAUUGUACGAGUGCCCACGCGAAAUCCGAGUCGAGUGAGUGGACCGACGUUCGGCACGGCACGGAUAUUGCAAAAUCUAUGUUUUAAAAUCGUAGUAGGAUUUUUUUUUUUCCCCGUGCGUGUAAAAAAUGCGCGAAUACCGCGUGUAUCGGAACCGGAAACUGCGCGCGUUCCACGUGAAUUUCGGCGAAACAACGGCUGUCCCGUUUAUUUCCGGGAAUCCGGCCGCAUAAGAGACUGGACUUCCCCCCCCCCCACCACAUUCGCGUACAGCGCGCAACGUGUUCGGGCGGCGACUGUUUGUAUAAUAAACGUUCGGACUUUGGUCGCGUGUGCUCUCGUUGGGAGCUUCCGACGUUUUCGCGGGUCCGCGCAGAACACGGAACACAAUGCUGUGUACUGCUGUUGCGCGCGUAUUUUCGGACGCAGAGUAAAACUGUUCGGGGGUUCGACGGUGUGUGUGUGUGUGUACGUGUGUGCGUGCGUGCGUGCGUGUGUACGCAGUUCGGCGGGCCGUCGUACCGUUUAGGCCUAGGGAAUUAAUAAAUCACCGCCGAGGAACAUGCGGGGUGUUUUCUAAGUCCGCGCGGUCCGCGAAACGAACCCCCGUUUCUCUUUAGAGAGAACCGCGCCGCCGUCGUGACGGAAUUGAUAACGCGCAAUUAAUUCGGCAAUUACCCCGGGGAUUCGAUAUAAUAUAUAUAUACGGAUGAGCUUAGGCAAAGAGAAAAUGUAAUUUUCGUGCGCGCCGGAAGAAGAAGAAGAAGAAGAAGAAGAAAAAAAAAAUAAAAAUCCGUCUGAAUAUAGUAUUUAAUGAUUUAGCGAUUAUUAUUCAAACGGUAUACCAAAUGCGUUUUUAAAGUUUUCUUUACGUAAGUAUAUAUAAUAACAAUAAUAAUAAAAAGAAAAUGUAAAUGUAUUUUCAUUUUUUUUUUCGCUCCCCCCCUCCCUCGUGUAAAUCGUUCGUUUCGCUUUUGGGUAUUUGCGCGCGCGCUUUGUCCAAACACAAAAAAAAAAAAAAAAAAAAAAAAAAAACACCGCACCAUACAAUACGCCCGUACUUAUUCGCGCAUAAUUCGACAAUUCUAAACGCGUUCUUCUUUGCUCUAUACGCGCGGUUAUCGUCGUCGCAGGUGUGGUGUACGUUCAUGCGUGUAUCAGACAAACAACUGCGACUACAAAGUCACGUCGAAUCGCCCCCGACCCCGUCGGAAGUACGCAAACAAAAAUGUCAUAUCGCAUUAUAAUCGUCGCGUUCUAAAUACGAAAUGACGUUUUUCUUUUCUCCCGCGUGGUUCUAGACAGACGAACGAUAUUGAAUGAAUAACGAAAACGUCCGUUCAAUUUCCGUUUCCGCGCGUAUGUUUUUCGAAACGGCCCGCGGGUCUUCCGAAUUAUCUGAACGCAUAAAUCCACCUCGAACAUAUUACGUUUGUCUUUUUGGCCGGUCCGGUCCGAACGAACCCCCCACCCCCCGGAACCAGACGCGUUUUUAACCGGCGGCGGAUCGAACGUGAUAGUAAAAGUCGGGUCGAAUGAAUUUUAAUACGAAUUUCGGGCGCGUCGUGGCGGGAGAAGGGCGGUGUGUUUCUUCCUAUAGAUUCGAGCGUCCCUACAGACCCCGACCGAAGCCCUUUGGCAUCGCUCUAGACGACGGUUUGUAUCAAUCGCGGUGCGUCUUGCGCGCGAGUUUCGGCUCUCCCCGACUGCGGUUUUUUUCACGCUCUCGAGUUUUGCCCGCAAUAGUGACGCGCAGCACAAAUAUUAUUAUUGCGUACCGCAGUUCGGUGGCGCAUACACGGUUCGUUGUUUUUUUUUUUUUUUCACGAACAAUCGAUUUUCACGUAAGAACGUUCGACGACUCCGUAUCGAUAACGCCAGUGACGGGGAGAUCUCGCGCGCUGCUUUUACGGCGCGGUUGUGUUUCCCUCUCCGGAAACGGAACCGUCAAAUACUACGCGGGGCGGAUACGGAAUUGUAAUGGUAUGUAACGCGAAGAGACGGACGACCGCGUAUAUUACGAAAUUAUAUAUGGAUAUUAUACACACAUACGUGUAUCGUAUAUUAUAAAAACGUGUCGACCCGAACACGAUUAUACACUCAAAAAACGACGAGAACCGCCACGGCGAUAUUUCAUAACUACCCGCGACGGACGGUUAUUUAUUUUCGUUUUUUCAUUUUCAUUUUUUUUUUUUUCCCCCAGACCUCCUCGCUCGCGUCACGGCGCCGGUAUCGGUGGCCGCGAGGGGCGGGCCAAAAAGUGGAGAUAAAUGCGCCACUUUCCCGUUUUUCUCCGUCACCGACGACGAUAUUAAUUCGACGUUUAAACCGUCCGCGAUUAAGCGAUCAUCAGUCAUCCUUCUCCCGUGUGUGUGUGUGUGUGUAUAUAUCUAAUAUUAUUGUUGUGCGUAUAUUUAUGUGUAUACGCAUUAUACGCACUCGCACCCCGCCCGCGGGCCGACAGAUUCAAUAACAGCGGCGAUAUACGCGUUUAACUGCUGUCCGCCGGCCCGCGAUUAAUUAUAUUUUUGUCACAACAUUGUCCCCGCGGAUAUAAUUGCUCGGCCGUUCGAGGGGUUUGGGUGGAGGGGGGGUUCCGGGGUCAUAUAUGCCGGCGAUUUGUAGCGCGUACCCCUUAUAUAUUGUUGUUAUUAUUAUUAUUAUUAUUGUUAUAUCCGCGGGGGCAAGGUUCGUCCGGCGAUUAUAAACGCGUUCGACGGCGGCGGCGGUGGCGACGGCGAUAAUGACGACAAUACCGCGGACCGCGACCGGAAGGGAUUUUGACGCGGGAAGAACAAAAAAAAAAAAAAAAAAAAAAAGAAUAAAUACCCCAGCCGCUUCAGACGUGUCCGGUACGGUUUCUCCGGGCACGCCCGCACGGUUAUUAAUAAUAUCCCCCGUAUCUCGGACCGUUGUCGUCGGGACGGCCCGCGACUCGCGUCGACGAUCCGGCCGUAGCCGCAGCAGAGCCCCCCCCGUGUUAUCGAGCAGACGUUUCCGCCGCCGCCGUUUUUCGCGGGCCAUCCGUUCGGGACGGCGCGUGAUUUUCGCCGGAGCGCGGCGCCGUACCGCGGACAUCGGCCCGUGAUUUCAUCGGCGACCGUACGUCAACGGCGAGACGUGACCGGUCCCGCGGCGGCGCCCGGUUCGGUGUUCUGCACCGACGGCGUGAAAUGUCCUCCGCGAACGUUCGACGCGGUGCCGGCCGCGGAAAACACGCGCCCACACACGUUUUGGUUAUUGCAAACCUUGCAGUAAUGCCGCGGAAAUCAACCGGCGCGACGGCGCGAUAUCAGCCCGCCGGCACUUCGGCUUUUCGACGCGAUUGCGCCCGCCGUCGCAACAUUACGCGGCCGACGAGCAAUAUCCGUAAUACCAUGCAGUUCGGCGUGUCGAUUGUUUUUACGCGGCCGUACCGACUACGGUCGUAGUCAACGUCGCGUUACUCUGUAUUUGUUCGGUAUUUGAUCGCGAUACACGGUAAAGCCGUGUACCGACUUGUCCCGUCCGGUCGGCCAGUUACCUACGCCCGCCGAGUCGACCCCCCCCACCCACGUGUCCCGCGUGAAUUUCGUAAUUCCAUUAUUAUUCGUAUGGUAACCCCGCGCGUUAUUUUAAUACGACUUUUGGAUUGCGUUUCGAGAGGUCGUAAUCAUUUCUGGACACGACACGACGCGACCGUACCUCGGCGGCGGCGGCGACGACGGCGACGACGACGACGACGACAACGGAGACCGCAAUUAAUCACCUAGCAUCGAGAUACCGCCCCUUUUCUCUCUCUCUCUCUCUCUCUCCCCCGUACGUUAUGUUUGUCUAAACCCCCUACCCCCUUCGAGCGGCCACAGCCAUCAAUCAUUCCGGCGCGUUGUGUGUGCGUUCGACCGGUCCACACGGAAUAUAACGUCCCGCCGACGUCCGUGUGAGAAACGCAUUAUUAUUAUAUACGAAUCCGAUGCACGACGUCGAUUAGCCGCCGCGCUAUUCAAAAGACACGUGACCGGUCAAUAUAGGGUUGCGGGACACGGGCUGUGCACGGGCCGCGAGGGUCGUAAACACGGGGAGAUUAUACAUUAAACACACGUUUUAUUAUAAUAUUAUAUCUUGGGAUUUGAUUGGCACGUACACACAAUGUUAUGUAUUCAACUAACCCCCGGGGGAUUUCCGAACGAAAUUAGAAAAUUACGCGGGAGCGUUCGGUAUUGGCGGGCCACGUGUUUCGGUGAUUCGGCUUUUGAAGCGCUCGGGGCCGGCCCGGGCGCGGCGGUGUGCCGUCGUUCGGAAAGCCGCGCGGGUUCCGUUUGUUUGCAAAACCACCGCCGUUGAUGAUAAUGUUUCGAUCGUAUUUCACGCGACGACGCGUGAUACUUUCAAUCCGACGUUUGUUCAUCGUUGGAAAAAUCCAAUUACUAAUUACGGCCGAACCCAUCCGCCAGUGCAAGAUCGCGUCAACAGCGUUAACCUACAUUAUUAUCCAUAAAAAAAAAAAAAUUACGAAAAGAAAAACAUAAAAUAUGUAUACAAAGUGAUUACCACUAUACAUACGGGGGAAAAAAAAAAAAAAAAAAAAAAUUCAGUCUUAGAUUAUGUCGUUCGUCGUGUUACAAAUAAUUCGUAAUAAUCAGAAUGUCCUUUGAAGUUGUCGUUUUGAAAGACGAACCUUUUAUGUACAAAAUGAGCGAAAGUUUUUACUGCUAAUAUAUAUAGUAUACUUAAAGCGAUAAUAAUAGUUUUUUUAUUGUUUAUUGCAAUAAUACGAACCUAACAAGUGUACACUGCUGCAGGCGAUAAUUGAAACGCAGAACAGAAAAAGUGCGCUGCAAUUUUGGCGUUUACUUUUUACACGGGACAGAGUACGAAAUCUAUUUAAUUCGGUGAAUUUAAUAAAUUUAGAUUAUUUGGAAGAAGUGUACUGGUAACCAAAUUACCCAUUAAACCGAAUGAUUGAGUGUAUAGGUAAGGCUAAACUAUUAGGGCGAAUAAAUAAGGAACCAAUUUUCUUAAUCAAUUUUAUGAGAAGUGUUACGUAUAGUAAUAAUUUAUUAAAUAAUACGCGAAACCUUUAUCCAAACAACUAUUACUACCAAAAUCAUAAACAUUUAAUUGACUUUUGAUUUCCCUUUUGAUCACAUAACAUAAUGUUAUUACUUAGUAACUCGGUUUUAUUUAGCAAGCGCCACAUGAACAAACAUAAAAUAAAAUCAAUUAGUCCUUAUUUUAUUAACCACAUCAUUUGAGUUAUUUAUAUUCCUGAAGUUAAUAAAAAAAAAAAAAAAAAUAGAUUUAAAGAAACAAGGUCGAAUAAUUAUUAUUAUGUUCAUUUAUUAAAAUUUUUUAUCGAUUUGUGCCUUUAUCGAUAUCAAUAAUUUUAAUACAUUUUUAUGGAACAAAGACCCCCUAAAUCAGCAGACGGGUACUCUUUCAUAUCAACAAAUAAUAUUAUUUAUUUUAGAUGAUUCCGAGUGGAGCGAAGAAGCUUAUAGUUUUACAAAGAUUUUUUUUUUUUUUUUUUACCUUUGCGCAACUUUUUUUUCCUGUGAAUAACUUUUCUACCAGGAAUUUUGUUCCGAUUUUCAAAUGUAGCGUAUUUUACCGACAGAAAAUUCGACUGGGGUGUGAUACAUUAGAGAGAUCGGUUUUUUGACUUUUUCAAAGAUUUUCAUAAUAAUUUGGAAAAACGGGUAAAUUUACGAAACGUAUAGUAUUUUCAAAUCGUACGUAUUACGCGGCCUUUCGAAACACGUAUAACCGAACUUCGCUCGGAACCGUUUUUCGUUAGCAACGUUCAAUCGUCGCGCUCAGAUAUGCAUUAAACUCCCCCAUCUAGUUUCCCAACUUCUUACCAACAACAGUGGCUACAUCCACGUGCGAAGUAUAUCCGUUUUUUUUGUUUCUUUUCACUUUUGAUUUUAUACAUUUAUCGCUUUUUUUACAGAUUACCUUUCGCGGUAACCGAGAUUAAUGAGCGCGUAUUAUGUCUUCGGUUUUGAUUGACCCCGGCGGCUCGUGCAAUCAAAAAAUAAGAACUCUUUUGACAUACCCGCCUAACUAGCUAAGUAUUUUUCCUUUUUUUUUUUUUCUGUUUCCCCUUCGGACGACGCAAUAAUUAAGUUAAUGGACUUUGCGUGUUUUCGGAGGCUCGUAAUGCCUUUCUUAUUUCGAUCUUUCCAAGAUACCGGCUAAAUAUCUGUCGCUUUAUAUAUAUUUAUACCAACUCACACACACACACACCUACGCGGCAUAAAAUAUAAUAUGUACGGGGGUGGGGUGGGGGGCGGUCGCGGCAGACCGCGAUAAGAAACGGCGAUACGCGAUACACACUGCGUGUCGGCGCGUAAAUGGUUUCCCACUAUCACUUUCGUCCGCGCACUGUACACAGUGGUAUAGUAUAAUAGUGUUUGAAUUAAAGCUUAAAAUAAUAUCCAAUAUUGCGUCAAGAACCAACGAUUAUGUCGCGAAUAAAACGCGUAUAAUGGUGUACGCACGUCAGUCAUGCACGGCGAAACCCAAUAAUCGUAUCACGAGAAAUUAUUAUACACACUGUGUUAUGUAUCACGUUUGUUAUCGUUGUUAUCAUCAUUUUGCGCCGUGAAAUUGCCCUCGAACGGAAUAUUACCGUGAUAUGUGUUCGCCCGCGUCCGAUACCCCGUCGCCCAUUACAACUCCCCUUACGCUUUGUAUCGCGUUGCCUUUGAAAUGUUUAUCGAAAACUCGCGGCGUGCGCGGGUGCACACCCGAAACCGGUCGACGGCUAGCGGCGGCGGCGGCGGCGGGGGGGGGAAACGUAAAUUUCGCACCGUCGCCCCCGCGGAUUUACGGUCCGCGAUCGCAAGAAAAACGGCGGCGGCGCGAAACUCUUUAACGGGCCCGAAACACGGGGAAUAAAAUAUUCGAUAAUAUUACGCACGUCCCGUAGUAUCCCAGUUACCGCAGCGCCCCUCCCCCGCCUCCCCCGACCUUUCCGGCCUUAAGGGCCUGAAUACGAUGUUUCGCCACGGGCAUUAGAAGUGAUAGUCGCGCCACCGCUGCCCUCUUGCAAUUCGCUCUGUUCGCGAACAGUGUUCUAAUCGAAUUAUUGUUUCCAAAACGAACGGCCUCCCCCUCCUCCCCUACCCCAUCGCGCAUUUCGGCGAUCUCGACUCGAUCGGGUAGAAAAGACGGGACGAGAUAAGGAACGCGGGGUUUUUAACACGACGCGCGGACGCGAUGGAAACGAAAUAUGGGUACGCGGCCGACACGGGCGAACGGUCUCGGAUCGUAUUUUAUUAUUACGAACCGGACCGGUCGUCGUCAACGUAGUUUUGCAGUUUCGUCGCCGGUUUGUUACGUGGACAGUCAAUGCGUAACGAUGUCAUUAUAUCGUUAUAAUGCGCGCCCCGCACGCGUAAUAUUAUUGUUGUCGAUGACUAAAACCGUAUUGUCGAAAUAACGUUCCGUACGCGAACGUUACGAUUUGACUACGCGUAACCACGUCUAAUAGGUACGCCGUCGUCUCGAACCGCUCUCGGAUCUCUUAUCGUCGUCGUCAAAGUCGUUGUACUUAUCCGGUGGCGGGGAACGGGGUGGUGGUGGUUGUAAAUAAAGACAGCCAAAACAAACGCCGUUGUUGCACUCCUCGUGUCCGUGAUGUGUUUACUUACAAUGAUGAUGAUGAUGAUGAUAAUAAUAUACACUCGGGCUGCGGCGCGGACGAAGGAGUGAGGGAGGGUAUUGGUACACCUGCGACGGCGACGCUACCAUGUAACGUAAUAAUAUUAUACGAAUAAAAUAAAUGUCAUCGACAAUACGGCGGCGGCGCGACAAUACUCCUCCGGGGCGUAACCGGUUUGGUUAUACCGUCGUAUACCGUCGUCGUCGUCGCCGUCGCCACAGAGUCCGUUGAACUCUCUGCGCGUGUAGCUGUUCGCAUUGUACGCACAGGCGGCGGUGGUGGCAGUGGCGACGGCGGCGGCUCACCGGCCGCACGUUGUUGUGACCGGCCGUGCGCGAGCGGUUCAAGGACAACCGCGAUAUUGUUGUUGUGUUCGAUACCCGUACACGAUAUUAUUGUUACUAUUAACGCGGUAUAAUACGGUAGCCGCCUGGAAAAAAAAAAUAAUAAUAAGAAUCUCAUCGGAACCGAUAGAUAAUAAAAAGACGGGGACCGCGGCGGCGGUGACGAGAAACGCUCCACAAUAUAAUCGUGCGGCGGUGGCGGUUGCUGCGCGCCGCUGGCAGGUGGGGUCGGCCACUUUAACCGCAUCUGCGAUAUCCGCGAACAAUCGAAUCUUCGCGACGCGUCGUCCGUCGAAACCGCCGCCGCCGCCAAUUUUGCUGUUCCGCGUCGGCGUUUUGUCGGAUUUUCAGGUUUUCCGUCCCGUCAAAAUUCAAACGUAGAAUACUCGACGGUUCCGACUAAUAACCGCAGAGGUUUCCGCACAGUUUUUACGAGAUACGUCAGCAAAAUCCGUACAAUUUAUAUCGUAGAUUUCGAUAUUUGUACCACUAGCUAAAUAUUCCUCGGUACUUCUGUAUAUACUGUCUUUACUAUCUCCGAUCCCUGCAGUGGCGUAUCCGACGUGGAUUUUCCAUUGCCCACCUCCCAUCCGCCUGCGAUUCUCUAAACCCGUUGCGGUGUUUUUGUCGAAUAGGUUUUAGACCGACACUUGGGACCGUCGGUGUAGCGACGAACCUUCUUAAUAUUAUAAAUAACCAGAAAAAAGGAAGGGGGGGGGAGAGGUUACAAUACCAAAAACUCCUCCUGACCGCGUCGCUGCUUAGGACACUGUAACUUUCUUGGAGUGAUGGUACCACGUUUAAACCGACAGGAUAUGUAGGUUAGGUUUUCUAACUUGCUGUUUUUCAAGAGCAUCAAGAUACAUGGUUUGCCAGCAAUUUCAUUUACAUUCAACCGUAGUGUUGAAAUUUCGGGGCCGGAGAGCCUUAUCAUUAUACAAAGACCAAAAUCUAUGAAACAGCGAACGUGUUAUUUUUGCUGCCCAGAAACGUUUCGCCGCGGGAUUUAAACGAACCCAUUAUAUUAAUAAUAAUAUUAUGAUUGCAACACGUUGAAUUCUCUCUCUCUUUCUGUCUUUCUUUCAACACAUAUUGUAAUUAAAAAGCUAACGUGCGUACGUUUUUAUUCUCUCGGGUCUGUAUCUGCUGCUGCUGUAGCGAAUGUCUAACGAGAGAAAAUGCAAAAUUUCGCAACACCAAUAUUUGAGAAUUGAAUAAUAAAUUAUAGUGGCCGCGCAAUACGCACAGGAGAAGAGCCCGACGCUCGUCUCAUUUACAUUUCAAACUGUCAGCAAAAUGUGCACGCGCACUUAGGCUUUUGUCAUCGUCGUGACGAUUAAACGGAUGUAUAAUAAUUAUAAUAAUAUAAUUUGCGUGUAUACAAAUUAUCGCGUGUGAUAAUAAUAUUAUUAUUUGAUCGUCAUUUCGGCGGUCGGGAAAUAAUAAUACACCUAUACUCGCUGCGAGUAUUAUAAUAUAUAGGGGACAGAGGUACAAUAUAAGUAGGUACCGGGGAAACUUCCCGCGGACUUUUGGGAACAAUCCAACGGACUCGGGAGCCAAAAACGGAGUUUCCGAGUUUUAGCGAUGCUGUGCAAUUAUAUCACAAUCCGUUAAUGGUGUUUUUAAUCAUCGCCUAUUAUAUAUAUAUAUGUAUAUAUGUGUGUAUACAGCUUCGUCGUCGACUUUCCGAGUGCGGAAAUAUUAGAACGCGGAACUCUGAAGUGCGUGCAUAUAACCAUAUACGGGUGUAAGUAAGAGCCUAGGUAAUGAUGGCCAAAUCAGAAAUGGCCGAUUUUGUUUAUGUUUUAAGCCUUUCCCCCCUCUCCCUGACUUUUUUUGUAUUUAGCCAUAUUUUUCUGUAAAUUAUAUUAUAAAUAUUUUUUUAUACCGUUUCGGUACGCAUUAUCACAGAUUACCAAAGUGAAAAUAUAAAAACAACAGAUACGCCUAAAGCCCUAAAGCAGCUGGUUUUCAGAUCACUUAUAAUUUAAAGCUGCAUAUCAGACAGCUCUAUUUUUAAUUAAUCAUUUUAUUUAGGUGUUUAGUUUUACCUAGAAAUACUAAAACUUUAACAAUAAUUCGUGUAAGCGGAUGAACCGAAAUAGUGGAGGAAAUCUACCUUAAACGUACUAUUCGAUUUGGGCGAUAUUUAUAGCCAUCUAUCCAAACAAAUUUGUUGCGAUUAAUUUUAAAAUAAUUCACACGCCUAAUUAUCAAUUCAGUAAAAUAAAUAAUACAAAAACUGAAUCGAUACAUUUCACUAAAUUGCAAAUGCAUUACGUAGAAUUUAUCAAAAAAAAAAAAACACAAUAUGAUGUAUAAUUAAAUAUGACGUAUUCUAUGCAUUUUUCAGUAACUUACCUAGUUUAUAAUGACAACGGUAAAAAGUUACUUCGGGCAUAUUACCGGACAAUAUGGUUUAUUAUACGUGCAUAUAACGAAUAUUAAUAAGUUGUAUGGCAAACGCAUUGCAUGUACCCACAAUCGACUUUAGCCAAAAUUAAUAAUACGGUAUAAUAUAAUUAAAUAUGUACCUACAUUGUGUCUAUUUUAAAUAAUAAUGUUAUAGGUAUUUUAGUUACGUAUUUCGUUUACGUUAAUAUAACACGAUAAAAUAAUAGUAUAUUGGUAUCACAUGAUAAUCAAUAUUCAUUAUACACGUAACAAAAUAUCAAUUGCAUAUUAUGAAACGUUAAAUGACUUGAUAGAGUUAUGCGUGUGGUGGCGAGUAACAAUAACAAAAUAAUUGUUUAAAUUUAGCCGAAUUUCAAUAAUAUACGCAACACAAGUGGCUUAUUUUCCAUAAACGGUUGGUAAAAACAAAUCGCCAUCAGCCCCUCCCCCCUCCUCCCGCUACAGUACAACAUACCCGUUAUGUAAUUAAAUUGAUUUAGUUCCUUGGUACUGGUAUUUUAUUUAAAUAUUAUUGAAAAACCACACUUCUGACAUAUUUAUAAAUAUUGUACUUAAAAAUACAAUUUUUUUUAAAAACAAAAUAUCAAUAAAGUAUGUACCUAAUAGUAGACGGUUAUAAAAUAAUCAACAAACUUAAUGGUUUUCUGUGGUGGCGAUAGACUGACUGCACGGACGCGUAUAUUCACUCUCUGGUAACCGACGUUGAACUAACGAUUUUGUAUUAUUAUUUUAUGGAUUAUGACGAUUGUGGUCCCCGCAGCUUCACGUUUCGACGAAACCUAUAGGUACUUAAUACUUAGGUAGGUUACCUAUAGGCUUUUUUAGAAUUAAUAUUUGUCGUGAGCAUUUCUACGAAGACGGGUCAGCGCAGUAAUCGUAUCUAUAACAUUAUAAUAACGCUGUACGUAUUAAUUACAAAUUAUUUCCUCAGCACUUUCACUACCCACGUAUGGAAUCAAAAUAAAGUACAACCUAUCGAGCUGCUGCGCGCGCGAUUUUCUUCUAAGCAUCGACUGCAAAGGUUAAAAACGGCUUAAAAAGGUUAAAAUAUGUUUAACAAAAUUAUAUUUGUUUUCGUCGUGACACAACAGUGUGAACAUUUUGCCGGAAAAACAUAGAAAUGUUUGCAAAAAAAAAAGAAAAAAAAAAGGUUAUAGAUAAAGUAUUAUAUAGUUGAGUUAUUUUAAGAAUUCUAACGAAUUUUUCGAUAUUUUCUUGGUCAGGUCACAGUGUUUCGUACAAAUGUUCAGGCAUAUUUUUAAGAAUUUUCUAGUAGCUGCGACAGUAUAGUUGGAUAGUACCUUAGUGACUUGAUCGGUAUUCGGUACAAAGGCUAACGUAGGAAUAUCUUAUCCAUAUUAAUUUAUACAAGCAAUUAUAAUUUUUUUUAUCUUCAAACCACAAAAUUUGUUUUAAUCAAACACGUAACGUGCACACGAAAGUUUUCACUAUAAAUCGAUAUCUAAAAUCGUUUAGUUUUAACAGCCUCCGUAUGUUCACACGCAUAACGAAUUCGAAUAAAUUAUCUCGAACUUUGUUUUUUUUUCCUUUAUAUAACCUAUUCACUAUAUUACCAAUUUAUUUUUUUUGGUGCAAAUAUACACUAGCGGGAUAAUAUUUCGAACUAUAAACAUAUUAUUUUUGUUUGCAAUCGAAUUUUCCAAAACCAGAUUUUUAUAUACCGCCGGGGUACGUAUAUUAGGUAUAGUAGAUAGGUACCUAUCGGGGGGAAAGGGAAAAAAACUGAAAGAGACCGGCAGCGAUGAAUAAAAUAUAAGAUUCCGAAAAUAAUACGAACCGCCAAUAGCGCGCGGCGAGGGUUCCUCUGUAAAUAUACGACGACGGUACGAAAAUAGGAAUCGACGAAAAAAAAAAUAAAUACAUCAUUCAUAUUUUAUUAAAAACAAUUUUUUUUUUUACGCGCAGCGAAUGUUUAAAACGAAAAACGAACGAAAUAAUAAUAAAAAAACAAUACGCCGACGACGAAGACUCGUUAUAAUCGAACGUUCGUCGUUAGUGCGUACCUAAAUAUAAUAUUACAGAUAUGAUAAUAUAUUCUUAACGCAAACAUAAAUCGCGGGCGGUCGCUUAUUUUUUUUUUAAAAAAAAGAAUACGUCAAAUCGAAUGUUCGCAUUUUUGACAAGUUGACCUACAAAAGGUCAGGACUAUUGUCAUAAUAAUAAUAAUAUCACAUCGCGGCCGGAGUCCAACUCUUUUCCCCGGCCAAUAAUUUAUGUGCCAAUCAUAUUUAUUGUGCGCAUCGCGACGCGUCUCGUGUACGACGCGGUGCUAAAGAAACGGUCUGUAGGCAUACUGUAAAGGCGCCGCGCGUUGCAGCUUGCAAAGGGAACGGCAAUCGUUCGGGGAGCGGGGAGUGGGAGGGGGGUACAGCACCCGUAUCAAUUAUCGUUGUACAGGAGUGAACAAAUCCGUCGUAGAAACGGACGCAAUGUUGUUGUCAAUCGCGUCUGUGGCCAAUCGGUCUUUGCGUGCCAUUGGGUGUAAGUCACGAUGCCAUCGCGGUGGAAAUAUGUUUCGACCGCUGUCCGCCCGAGGACCGGAGACGGCCGACGAAUAUACAAAACCGUGUCCGUUCUCUUUUACAACCGUCUUCUGUAUUAUGCGUGAUUUUUCUGAACAAUACACAGUAACGGGCGUCGACGGCUGUACAUCUUCAGAUUUGCUCGUAUAUAGAAUCAUCGGCUAUUCUGUUGUUUUUUUAUACGAUUUCGGUCACUCGAUUUUCCGACGGUGAAACGACUGCCGAUAAUAUCAUAUACGUAUUAUGACUCGAGACGUAUUAUAAAACGAAUAACGGGUUUGGUCCGCGAUUAAAAACGAUAUAGCAAAAACCGUGCCUUUUUAUCGGAUCCCAUCAUCACUUAUCAGCGACAGUAACCGUCGUCGUCAGACUUUAAAUUUGAUUUUGAUUUUAACGUUUUAUCUAGCCCAUGGGAACUAUUAAUAUUAAGUUAGUAUAAUAUUAUAAACUCAUGAUGAUACUAAAAAAAAAUAUAUACACAUAUAUAAUAAAAUAUAUUGUAUACAUUUUUUUUUCCUAAAUCCAAUGUGUUGGCGAAAAAAAAGGAAAUCCACUUAAUUGUGCGAUCGCGAUUACGAAUAAAUUAGUAGGCUUUUUCGAGCUUUUCGAGGAGAAAAAACAGUAAAAUUUAAAAAGUUAAAUAAUAAAGCGGGCUAAUCGCAUAAAAAAAGAACCCGGAAUACCGUAAAUUCCUCUUAAUUCGCAAGCACACAAUGCCCCUGAGUCACUUCCGGAUUUAUAUCGCCUAACGCCUAACCUCCGGUAUACACCUACCUAAAAUGUGUUGAAACCACUCUGUGUAGGUUUCGAUAAAAGGAUAUUACUUAAUUAGUUUUCAAGUUUAUUAACAAAAGGAAUAUUUUCCACACACAGGGAAAACAGUGUGAUACAGUAUGAUCCAUUAAGGUGGGCUAAACUCGAUAUUUAGAAAAUUAUUGGCUCUUUUAACCCGUAUUAUAUACGAUUAUGAUAUAAUUUAUUCAUAUUUUUCAAGAAGCCUCUCACAAAAUAAACUCUUCCAAUAAUCUUUUAUGAUAAUUUUCAUUCACAAUUUACGUAAGUCGGUAGGUACUUCUAUUGAAAUAACACGUGCAAUAUAUUUCUCUCUUUCUAUAUUAUCUAGCUUGACAUUUUUCAAAAGUCUUAGCCGUUAUAACACAAUUUCUUUUUAAUCUAUCACUAGUCUAUCUCUAAUACAUUUUUCCCAAGCCAUAUUUUCCAUUGUCUCCGGGUCUUCUUUAAUUCUGUCCAACCAACGCUUUCUGCUGGUUGUCCAUCUCGGCUUUUUAACCGUCUGUGUCUAUUCUAUAAUACAAUACAGCCGCUCCGAUUCCGUUUUCCUUUUCCUCGCACAUUGCACGCACGAACCGCUGCAGUAACCGCCCACCCUUUAAUAUACAAUUUGUUGUUUAGGUACACGACGGUAAUUUACUUGUUAUCUCAUCUUCUACGCCAUUGUUCGUUUUCAACAUCGAAAACCGCACCGCCGCGUAUUGAUGUCGAUAUUUUAUAUGCGAUUUUAACCGUCGUAGAAAUCGAUUACCGGUGUUAAAAUCCGCGAAAACUCUGUAACGAUAAUAAUUGACACAGGGGAAUUUUGCGAGGACACAAGCUCGAAAGGUUGUGCGUUCAUCGAAGUGUGUUCUAACUGAACGGACGACAACAACGCUAUAUAGUAUGUAAUAUACUUUCGCGAUACUGAAGAAAAACACCCGUUAGUCGAUAAAAGUUUGUUUUCAUUCCGCCUCAUCGCGAAAAUAGGCCCCGGACGGGUUGGCUUUUCGGCUGUCGGCGAAGAAUGAAAAACGAAUAAACCGGAAAUCUCUAUAUACUCGAAUAGUGGUAUAAUACUAUACAAUUGUAUUGGCUGCAACAUUAUAUUAUAUAUAGAAUUUAUACCCGCUAUAUAGUCUAUUCUCUCUCUCUCUCUCUCUCUUUUUUUUUUUAUUUCUGUAGAAAUUUCGCAUAAUGUUUCAAUUACCGCUUAUUGUAAUAGGUUUAGUUCAUUUGUGUAUAGGGACGAAUUAAAUUCGCAUUUUUCAACCGGGGUUCAUAUUGGGCCUUUUAAUACGAAUACCGUUUUUCCCCUACUAUAUUUUUAUUCGACACAAAAUUAUUCAAUAGGCCGUAUAAAUCCCCCGUUUUACAUUAAUAUAUUAAAUAGGGUUUAAAUGUUGAGAAAAAAAAAUGAACUGAGUACAAAACGAAAAUCCCUGUUCGUUAAUUAUAAUAUUUUACGUGAAUAUCAUAAUACACAAUAUGUAGUGGCGCGUUUACCUAAGAGUCCGGGGGUACUGGGCACGUUCUUUAAGAGCCACAAAAAAAAAAAAAAAAAAAAAUCAAAUCGGAUAUAUGUUCCUGCAACGUUGUUAAGUAAAAAUUACAAGAAGUAUAUAGUUAGUCAUAUCGUUGUGCUAUCAGGUUACUGACCGCGAUUGAAUAUUGGAGUGUGAUAAAGGAAAGAUAAUUUAUCAAUAAAGACUGUAAUUUGUAUUAUUAAUAGAUUAUAGUUAGGCGAUUAGACGAUUGGAAUUUACCUACAGAUUUAACAUUGAACCCCCUCCAAAAGAAUUUCCAUGUACCUACAUUUAUUAACUAUGAAUUCCCCACCAUCCUGAAAAGUUUAAAUGUCACUGUACAGUGUACGUAUACACCAAACAAAUGUAUACUUUAUUUGAAAUUAUUAUACUGUAUAUAAUAUAAAUAUACGUCACUGUAUACUCUGAAAUAAAUUAUAACACGUUGAUUUAAAUUAAAAUGUAUACCUACGAGCAAUACAUUUCUGCCGGUAUUUUAUAAUAUUGUUUAUUAUAAACACAAUCAAAUUAAAAAAAAAAAAUUCCGCUCAAAUUAAAAAUAAUCGAAGAAAUCGGUGGAAAGGAAAUCUUCAUAGAGAAAUCUCUCGACGAAUAAUACGGUUCAAUCGAUAGUUUUUCACCUAUAGCUAGUUUGUAAAACAUACGGUAAAAACUCAUUACGUCCCGUUGAUGACUAAUCAUUUCGUGUUCUUAAGUCUUCUCCUGCAGAUUUCUCUUAUUUAUCCGAUACAAAUCCGAUUCGAACAAUAUAAUGUCGAUUUGUUGUUUGUUCGGUGAAAUGAGAAUUACUAUUUUGUUGCCGAAAAACCGUAAUUGUGUGUAUACCCUAGUCGAAAAUUGCGGACGAGAUUAAUGCCAAAUCUGGGAAAAAUAAAAGUAAAAAAAAUGUCUUUUCGCGUAAAGUGCGUGUAGUCGAUUUUCAAAAUGUCUAUUUAUAUGUAACAGUGAACUUAAAUUUUUGCUAUUUUUGUUGAAAUUUUCGAUCUUCAGAACUUUUUAUGGGAUAUUUGUAUUAAGACUUUUUGUGAUAUUUUGUUUUUAACAAUUAUUUCUACUAUGAAUGUUUUCAAAAUUGUAGAUUUUUGUCAUUUUUUCAUUAGACUUUUAAAUGCAAUGACGGGAGAAUUUUAUUUGCAUUUUUAGGUGCCAUUCAAACAGAAAUGGGAUAUAAGUGAUGGUUUUUUUUUUAAGGCUCGUAUUCAUUUUAUUUCUGAUAAAAAUACAUAAUAUAAAUAGAACAGUAUAUAUAUAUAUAUAAUGUAUAUGAAUGUACGUAAAACGAAAAUUUUAUUGAGUUUAUUCAAUACAAACCAUAUUAUAUAGUAUACACUGAUGUAAUAUUUAUAACUUUUUUUUUUCCCCGUUUCUACAGUAUUUUCGUAUUUUUUAUGCAUUGAGAAUAUUCUACAUCAACGUAAUUUCUAUCAUUUUCAAUAGAUAUUUUAAGGUGUAAAAUACGCAUAAGUUUUAUACAAUAUUUUCAACAUAUUACUACUUAUAUAUAUAUAUAUAUAACGAUUGGUCGUUCUUUUCAUUCGAUUCCUAAUAAAAUAUUAAUUUUAGUCUCCUUUUGUAUUUUUCUGCAAAAUUAUCCGCGUAUAAAACUAUACAAGUUUUCACGAUUUUUAUAAAACUCUAUAUCCGCGAAUUUGGAAUAAUGUAUAGUGAAAAUGAAAUAAAUUAUUUAUUUGUAUUACUUAUUAUUAUUAUUAUAUUUUUUUUUUUGAAAAACUCGAAUCGCGAGAAAUACAUUAAGAGACAGUGGAUGAUAAUAUUAAAAAUAAUAAUGAUAGUUAAACUAAAUAAAAUUACGCUUUUCUAUAUUUUAUCCGUGUCGCUGUACGUAAAAAAAAAAAAAAAAAAAAAAUAUAAUAAUAAUAAUCUCGAUCACUAAGUGCAUAAAAAGCGCGGCUGCGCGGAUGACGACGCAUACCCGCCGAAUUGACACACGAAAUUCGUGACCGAAAACUCUAGAAAAAAACAACCGAUUUUUACCUAAGUGAACUCGUGGACGCACAAAGACGGAUUGAUAAUGUUGACACAAAAUGGGUAUACAUGUAUACAAAAUGUGAUAAUGCAAUUUUUCCUAUCGACAUUCUUUAAACCCGUGUACGCGUUUUAAUGCUUAUGGGUUUCAACAAUUAUACAUGUGUUUCUAUAAUCGUACGGUUUUCGUCAUUAAAACGGAAUGCGUCUUAUGAUAAUGCGUACAAAACUUACGAGCUGUAUAUGUAUACACAUACACAUAUAUACUGAUUAUGUACUAUACACUACGAUACGAUUUUUUUUUUUCCAUUUUACUUUAUACGUAUAUAUUCUGAACUCAUCGAGUAAUGGGUAUAUGGGUUUAACUAUACGUGAUGCGUUUUAGAUUCGGACCGUAGCCAGGAAUGUAUAUUGGUUUUACAAUGACGUUUCAACAACUUUUCUACAAGAAACCUUGCCCGGGUUUUCAAGUGUAGUAUCUUUUCUAAAAGGAAAUUUUAUCCGGGCGGUAUUUUAUGUAGGCACUUUUUUUUUUUUUUUUUUUUUGAUUUUUCAAGCGGUUUUCAUAUAAUAAUCGGAGGGGGGAGGGGAAACGUAGGGAAAAUGUUUCUAGAAAAGAAACUUCGCUCCGAAUCGUUAGCGACGGUUUAUCGUACAGAUAUAAAUUAUAAGUUUUUCUCUGUAUAUCUUAUCUUUCCAACUUCUCGCGCCUAUAACAAUGGCCCACCCGUGGUGCGAAGUAUAUCCGUCAUUUUGUUGUGCAUCAUUGGAUCGGAUUUUCAAACGUAAAGUGUCUUUGUCGAAAGCCACUUUAGUUUUAGACACGCCGUUUAGUUUGCGGCGUUGGAGAGGACAUUUUUUUUUAUUUGUAAUUUUCUUAAUAGGUGAAGCUACUAAAAACUGGACAAUUUAAUUUUAAUUUUCUUUCAAUAUAUAUAGGCGUUUUUCUGCUAUUUAUAGGUAUUUGAGAUGUUCAUAUUUUAUUUUUUUUUAUUUGGGUUUCACGUGAAUGAAAUAAUAAUCAUUUUUUGGAGCUGCAAAAAUGCUCGAAAAUUCAACACGAGAUUUAUCAUGGGUUUUUCAAAUUUUUACUAUCAAGAAUUAUUUGCGCAUUUAAAUAUUUGAUAAGAAAAUAUUUAAGACACUAGAGUUAUAUAUAUAUUUUACGAUAAGAAUGUGAAAUAUCGAAUGACGCACGGGGAUCAGAACGAUCAGAAAUGUGCUUGCACCACUCGUAGAGUUGUAAUAAAAAUGUUAUAAAUAUUUCGCAUUUUUAUAAAAAUCUACCUAAAAUAAAAAUAUCCGUUAAACAAAUUUCGACGCACGGAAAUAAUGUCGUGCAUCGAACUAUUUUUAUUUGUGUUUUAACCGUUUAAUGUCUGGUUUUUAAGUUUUACCGAGAAAAACGGCUGGGUAUUCUAUGAAUUUCGUCUGUAUCCUUCUCCUAUUAUCUAUGCCCACCGCUUUUCUAUAAACUUAAAAUGUCUGUAAAUAAUAAAUUAUUGUUUUAAAUAUUCGAUGUUUACGUAAUGUUAUUCGGAAAUACGUGGAAAUAUAAAUAUGUUGUACUCCCAUCAGAAUCUGUGGACAAAAAUAAAAAUAUGCUUAGUCAUGAAUAAAACAAAAAAAAAUAGUCCAGAUCGUACAUUUAAAUGUGGGUAAAAAUAGGUAAGAUAGAAAGAAACAGAAAUAAUAAGCCCUCGUUCAAUAAUCGUUUUCCCUCUUUGACUUGAAACACACACGAGGUAUACACGAUGGUCAGUUUCCGUUUUGCCGCCAUCCUCGUACUUGAUAUUGCGAUAUUUUUUUUCGUUUUGUUUUUUUAAAAGCUCAAAAACGUACUAGUUUUAUUAUUAUUAUUUUUUUUUUCUCCAUAAUACUGUAAUAAUCACGUUAUGCUCCUCUAUUUGGCAUAUUAUACCGUUCCGAGUACGUCAUAUAUGUGUAAACAUAGUCUCUAAAACUUGUUCUAUAAAUUCUUCACGUUUAUAUAUAUAUAUAUAUACACGCAGUCCGCGAAUUGUAUCCGGAUUCCGGAUAUUGUUUCAUGCGGAUCUUUAGGCUUGGCAUUUCGAAGGCUAUAAUAUGUGUAUUCAAUUACGUCACGACGACGACGACGACGAGCGGGAGCUGAGUGAGAAAGAGGAGGUUAGUUUGUUCGGCAGAAGAUUUUUUUUUUCUUCUUCUUUUCCUUAUUUAUUUCCUCCCCCCCACCCCCGCAUCAGAAAUCUUUUCUAUUUUAUUUAUCCUUUUCCUAUGCGUUUUUAUACGUGUGCGUGCGUGCAUGUACGUGUGUGUGUGUGUGUGUGUGCGUGUGCGCGCGCGUGUGUAUAGGUAUACGAGUACCUAUAUAUACCGCGGUGUAUAUGUAUUAUUAUUUCUCGUAGCGAAAAAGGUCAACGCGGGAUUUAUAUACGUCCGUCCGUCCGCCCCCACUUCCCCUCCCGGUCUCGCAAAACCGUAUUUAACCCUUAUUACGUUUACGCGCUGCGCAGUAAUAGUUUUUUUUUUCCCCCCCGAUAAAUUUUCGUAUAUACCCGGGCUUUUUUUUUUUUUUUUUUCCGAAUGCCGUCCGUCGAUCAAACUGUAUACGCGUUUAUGUCGUCGUCGUCCAUAAUAUAAUACACGGUAAGUAUAUCAUGCUAUACGUAUACGUUUACAAUAAACGUAAACACGACGCGCAGAGUCUAUUUGAAUAUCGAUAAUAUUUCGGGCGCGCGCGCGGAGUGUGCGAACCGUAUUUUGGAAAACGCUCGUCGCACGUGUGGAAACGACGGACGCGACGGCUGCGGGGUCCGUACGCACGGGGUAGGGCCGAAAGAGAGAGAGAAAGAAAAAAACAAACCGAAACGCGCGUUUCCCGUCGCGGCUAAUUCUCUACACGCGGACGCCCGAUCGCGGUCGACGUUGCGUAAAGGCCGCGGGUUUAUCGCGACGCGGCGUACCGCGGCCUUUACCGGGGGGGGNNNNNNNNNNNNNNNNNNNNNNNNNNNNNNNNNNNNNNNNNNNNNNNNNNNNNNNNNNNNNNNNNNNNNNNNNNNNNNNNNNNNNNNNNNNNNNNNNNNNNNNNNNNNNNNNNNNNNNNNNNNNNNNNCCCCCCCUCCCCCCUCUCCCCCUCCCCCGCCGUCCCACACGUUUAAAUGCGAUUAAAAGUUUAAACUGUUGUUAACAGCGCGGGGAUUUCGUAUAAUCGUGUAUGAGCGUAAUGUACUAUUACAUUAUAAUGUGUACGCGAACCCCGUACAUAUACAAUAAUGUAUCGUGCCCCUCCGUAACCGAUCCGCUUAUCUCCCUCCUCUAUCCCCGUACCCGUCUGAUAAGUGUAGGUGUUAUAAACGUUGCGCGUGCGUGGUAAAGGACCGCGAAUUUUUUUAAUUCUAAUUACUUUUUUAAGGACCGCCACGCGUGUCUAGCGGCGGAGAAUCGGGGAGAGAAAAAAUAAUCGGAAUCGGAUAUUAUAUAGUACGCGAGAUCGGCGGACAACGAUUAUUUAUUAUCAAUUAUUGUAGAAUCCCGUCGAAUUUUCGACAAUUUCGAAAGCGUUUCGAAAAAUAUAUCGCGCGGUCUUAAAAAACGCGCGGAAAUCAUGCCAAAGUAAUUAUACCGGAGACUCCGUACAUAAACAAUGUGUAUUGUUAUAUCGUUAUCGUUUAAAUACGCGGAUAAUCGUCUGAAAAAAAAAAAAAAAUCAAAAAAAUCUGCGGGUUACUAUAUAUAUAUAUAUGAACGAGCCGAUGAAAUAAUAUUUCGUCGUACGUUUUUAACAACAUUAUGUUAUUAUUAUUAUUACUAUAAUGACGUUUUAGCUCCGAGACCCGUAUCCGCUGCGGCGCGCGUUAGAAAAACACUUUCGUAUUUUAUUUUUUAUUUCUCCCCUCCCCCACGCCCGUUUAAAAACGAUUACUUUUCCGUAUAAGUAUAACGAUAUGUAUACAUAUUUUAUGUGUGCGUUUAUCAAACACACGCACGGUGAAAAAAAAAUGGAACAUGAUGUAUGAACACUUAUUACUCUACAUACGCAUUAUAAUGUAUACGUAAGGUCGUCUUUACGGUUUACGCACUUAUCUCCCGUAUCUUAAUAAUACUUACGGGUUUUCAAAUGAGUCCUAAAAAAAAAAAAACCACAUUUUCUGUGGAAAAAUGAGCUCGAGUCGAUUCCGCGCGUAUAUUCAAUACGAGCAGUUUAAAUGUCGAAAAUACACACGCACACGUACACGUACACGAGGGCACACACACACGCUCAGUGCAAUUUAGACCAAAUAAAAAAGGAGAAAAAAAAUGCAUUUUUUUCCAUCCGAAUGUUUAUUUCGAAUUUAUUGUACCGUAAAAUCGUAUUUUAUCGAUUUUAUUCAAAUAUUAGGUAUAUUUUGUUCUUUUGUCGAAUAUUUCAAAACAAAAUACGAAACCAAAUGUAUUUAAAUAGACGCGACAAGCAUAAUAUUAUAUAAAUGUAACAAUAAACUGUCUAAUACAACUCGAAAGUUAAGUGAAUUAACGAAUUCAAUAGACGUUUGUAAAUCCAAUACGUUUAACAUUCAAUGCGUUUUAGUGGCAAAUACUCCUUGGAUUAGGUAAUAGAUUGAAAACAAAAAUCAAGAAUACUAUUCCUUUGGUAACAUUUCGUCAACCCAGUGUCGCAGUGACAAUGAGUGACGAGACGGCGCGGUAAGAGAUCGAAAAUAUUAUAACGUUUUCUACUUUUUUUUAUCCGCGAUUUAGGAAAGUUAUAUAUAUAUAUAUAUAUAUAGAGAGAGAUUAGUAUUGGGGAUUGCGCGGAGAGAAGGAAAUCGAACCGCAAACCAUGUGCAGAUGGACGCGAUUCAAAUGUAAUAUUAUUGCAUUUCGUCACCAAAGUCAUCGUGUGCGUAUAGGUAUUUACAGGUACUACUACGGUCGGUACUAAUAUUUAUGUUGUGCUGUCGACUUUGCAGCCGACGCAAAGAAAAUAAUCGCCCGGUUCCAAAUAGAUAAUAAAUGUGCCGCGUGUACCAGAUAUGGACAAUCGUUAAUUGAACUUUGAAAAAUACGAUUUCCCGACCCGAAUACCACUGUACCUACUAACUAGGUAUAAAUAUAUAUAUUAGAUACAAAUAAACGACCGAAGAGAAAUUACCCCUUGUAAUAAAACAUUUAAAAAAAGAUCGAUAACACCGUGACGGUUUAGUAAUGGUGUAUACAGGUAUAGAUUUUAUUCGCCGCGACGGCUGUACUCUCGAGUAUCUUAUCAAUCCGUGAACCGCAGUUAACACCGCUGUAAACAACACAAUCGAACACAUAUUUCGGCACACUUAAAUCGCUGUUUAAAAACCAUUAUAUGCCCGCGCGGCGUUUCGGGCACGCAGUUAAUACGAUAAUAAUGUAUAAAUAAAUAACGGCAUUUUGAAAGUCGGUUUGUGAAACCCGACUUCCAGCGUGUUGCUAAAAAUCAAACGACGAGUUCGUGUUCGCUGUGUAACCGAACGGUGUGUUUAAAACUCGAUAACAAACACAAAUCCCUCAGUCCCGGAACAAUCGAGAUAUUUUCGUAAACGUUAACUCACUCCUCCAGUCCGCGAGCUUUCGAGUUUUCGAGCGGUAUCAUAUCUGUAAACGCACGUAAAUAUCUGUAUAUCUGUUGCGUAUUUCCGUUGAAGUUCGAGUAAAAAAAAAAAAAAAAAACAAAGAACACUAACGCCUGCUGCUGUAGCCCGAAAAAAAAAACAAAACCAGACACGUCAGCGAAAAUACACAUUUUCCCUAUCGCCGCGCAUGUGUCUUGGAAAAAACGGUACAGUAAUCAUUGUAGGGCCGGUGCCUCCGUCACCCGCCCACCAUGCCGUGUCCAGUCCGCGGUUCUGCGCAGAUAAAAACAUAAACCAAUUAUUUAUAUUUUUUUUUCCUCCCGUCGCGGUUUUAGCAUAGUUUUUCUUCCAUGCGUCCGUCGCACGAUUUUGCUGACGUGCCCGGUUCCCCCCCCCCCCCCNCCCCCCCUCAAGCUUUGGGCUGCAACAACUGUUAAAACCGCGUGUAUUGCUCUUUAUAGCGCGUUCGUUAUCCGCGCAAUAAUAAUUGGUAUUUAUUGUUUAUUCUCCGGGCGGGACGUGCGAUCCCCGUGCACAGUAACGAAAUCGCGACACGGUCUGUUCGAUUUUUCGAUCCGUAUCGCGUAGUAUUCCGCAAUACUCGCCCCGGCGAAUAAUAAUUCCGGAAAACUGAUGCCUGCGCAGAGAGCCGCGAUGGAAUGUCGUCCCCGUGAUGUUUUCGCGCGAUGCGCGCGUUUCGAAAUCGAAUAAAUAACAGCGAAAACCGAAGACGGGCUCCGAACGACGGAGCGCAUAUACGAAUUGCAAUAUUACACCGGCACGCGGAGACCGUCCCCGCGCGUUUGACGAUUUCAUUUCGAAAAACCGAUUUAUCGAACGUUAUUGUGCGCGGGCAAUUCAACGCUGUUAUACACAACUCGGCCGACGAUUAAAACGCGCGAAUAUUCGCCCGUUGUCCGAACGCGCCACGCGGUACACACACACACACACACGCUGCAGCCGAUAUGAAUCGAUCGUGGUGUAAUUUAUUAACCGGUUAACCGCGACGGGACGAACCGGUGCGUGUUUCGCCGCGCGCUAUAAUUGCCCGAUGAUUCGUCGCGAUAAUAAUAUUCAAACCGCUACGCCGCGUUCGCGCGCGAUUGUGGAUAUUUUUGCGAGUUUUUCACGUUUCCACGUGUAAAUAUAUGUCUUGCGGUUUCGCGGGACGGCGUAAACAACAACAGUAACAACAGUUACGUGACGUAAACAUCAUCAUAAUAACAAUAAAGCGAGCCGAACGUAGCGCAACAGCGCAAGGGGGGCCGUUCGGUUUCCGUCGGUUUUCAACGGGACUCGGUCAAGUCGGUGGGCGAACAACCCCCUCGCGACCCGUCCCGCCACGGACAUUAUCCCGGCCGUGUUUUCGCGCGCAACGAACAUCGUUUUUUUUUUUAAUAAUCGGUUACGCGCGCGCGGGUACCGUGCAUCGCGCAAAUAAUGGAUCCGGGCCGCGGGGGCACACGUUGUAAUUAUUACGUUUCGUCGCGCCGCGCAGUUGACGUUUUCCCGUCGACAUUUUUCUCGUCGUCAAAAAUCGCUUUACCCGUAAUACGCGUGUUUACGCCGGCACUGCAUCGGCGCGGGGGGGGAUAUUCGGCAAUUUCACACACACACCGCGCGAUAGCCGCCGCCGCCUAUAAAUAGUAGCGAUACACCCGCCAGCCGGGGCCCGGUCGUGGGAACGUUUUACACGUUUAACUAUUCCGGCCGUCAUAUGCGCGUAGGUAUAAAAAUAAUAACAAUAAUAACGCGUAGUACUGCGCGGAGACAAAAGGAAUAAUAAAUACGUUUUUUUUUUUCCCUAAGUUUUCCAUUUUUUCCCCCCGUGUUUUUAUUUGUAAUUUUACGGUCUGCGGGACACUACAGCGCUACCUGUACACCGUAUAUUUCGUGUGCGUAUGUACAUAUAUAUAUAUAAUAUGUUCAUUUCAUUAAAAGAGUUUAUCGCCUUCCUUUUUCUGGGUACGCGACACAUACCGCAGAGAACGCGUACACACGUUAUAUUGUUUACGCUGUUGAAAAUCGUGGUAAAAAAAAAAAAAAAAAAAAAAACAAGUGUAGCAGAGAUUUUUUUGUGUUUUUUUUUCCUCUCUAUUUCAAUCUAUAUUUUAAUACGUAUACCGUACCGUAUACUUACUUACGUACCGUAUAUACUUUGUAAACUACGUACAAGUGGUAUUAUAUGUUUUUGGGAAGAAGGGCUUAAGUCGAUUUCGUAUAUGGUUUUCGACACGGGGCAAAUUAAAUAUCGAAAAUACAUAGUAUACACUUGCUGUACGUGCAUUAAUACACGUAUGCCGUUCCUUCAUUAUAACGUAUACCCGCGCGCGAGUAUUAUAACGCGCUAUUAUUAUUGUAAUGUUAAAGAUAAAUCGAAUGCUCCCCCUCCCUCUCUCGUGCCGUGCUCCUCCGGUCCCUCGAAAGUCAAAGAGAUAAAUUUUUAAUUUAAAAGACUUCGAAAAAUCCGCGACCUUUUAGCGCGGGUCUCUAUCUAUAUACGGCCUGUAUUAAAACGAUUAGUGAAGUAUUAUUAUUAUUAUUUGACAAAUGAAAAGUGAAUUAAUUAAAAACUUCUUAAUUGCAAAAAAUAACUGAUAUAUAUAUAUAUAUAUAUAUUAAACAUUUCAUAAUUUGGUAAUAAUAUAAACUUCUGAAACCGUUAAAAGGGUCUUAUUUCCCGUGACUGAUAUCGAUUCAUUUUUAUUUCUGUCCGAAAAUUAAUGUUUGAGAUUCUCGACCGGCCAAUUAUAGUAUACUGUAAUAAUAUACAGCGUCAUUCAAAUUUCACAAUACAGUCAAAUUUGCCGUGAAUACUUGUUUUUUUCCCCUCAAAAAAAUGACUUUUAUAAAAUAAAAAGGACAACGCAACAUUUUAAAAUGAUUUGAAAAAGUUUUACGUUUGUCUUUUUUUUUUUUUUGAAGUAAAUAUUCCAUGGAAUAUUACAUAUUUAUUCGUUUAUUUGCCGCGUAGUCGAUUUUUAUUAGCAUCGCUCCAUUUUUUUUUAUUUGUAUUAUAAUUAUUAUUAUUAUUUAUAGCCCUUUUUGCAUAGGUAUUAAAUAAAUGCGUUUAAUAUCGACUUAUAUCCUCGUUUGUAUAUUUAAUAAAUAUAUGCAUAUUUAUUAUUUAGUAUGUAUGUUAUUAUUAUUUUCCCGUAUUGUCCGACUUAUUCGUAUUAUGUACGCAUAUUACAUAUGUAUACCAGGCGUGUUCCGUUACUGUCGCGAAUAAAAAAAUAAACAAUGUGUACUUAAUAAAUAAUUCUUAUAUAUCUGAAUUUCUAUUGGUUCGAUUUAUUACAGUUAUCAUACUAUAUUACGUCUGAUGGACAAUCGAAAAAUAUUGUCCUAGGUGAAAAAAAAAAUGUCUGACCAUCCGUUUUCCGGAGUGGAGUAUGAGCAUCGGUGUAGUUUAAAAAUUAAAUGAAGUUUGUUUUAUUACGAAUUAAACUCUUAAAUUUAAUGUACAUCAUGUAUUAUUAAAAUUAAAAACCCAGUGGGAGGUAACUGUCCAGUCAUAUCUUCCCAACCCGGCUUCCGGUGAGACGACCAAGUAGUAAGAGAAGUAAAUUCGAUUUUCCUCUUGUUUAACCGAUGGAACCCGCAAAUCAAAAACUUAAAAAAAAUCUCGGCAAUUCUAAAGCCCAUAAUGCGAGCAUAUAAUAACGAUUUCGGAUCAGAUUAUUUUUUUUUUUUUUUUAUAAAUACUGCGGGGAAAACGUUUAUAGAUUUGUAUUUCAAAAAUAAUACUGUCGCCAGUCGAAAAAUUCGCGUCUCUUAUGGUAUAUUCGUAUAUAUAUAAUUAUGGCACGUGUAGCAACCGGACAAACGGUCGCAGAUACGUGUGCGUGUAUUUUUUUUUUUGCUCCCGAUUCACCCGGGGACUUUUUUAUUAGUCCAAAUUGCAGUCCCGGAUAGUGGUUUGCGACCCGCAGGAUUUCAAAUGUCGUGUGUGUGUGUGUGUGUGUGUGUGUGUGUGUGUGUGUGUGUGUGUAUGUGAAUUAAUUUCGUUGAAUUUCGAGAACAUCCAGUGCACACGAGUACAUGACGAUGAUGACGGUGCCCGCAGCUUAUCCGACCCGAUCUCGUCGUACACAAGACUAGGACGGACUAGUAGUCGUAUUAGUAGCAGUAAUAAUAAUAGUAGUAGUAAAAGAUAUUUCCUUUCUGUGUCUUCCCUAGCACGCAUCACUGUACAAUGCGAGCGCAAACUUCGUCUGUACAGAGGUAUAUAAUACACGUCGCGAGUUCACGAAUAAUAAUAUGUUUACAUUAUAUCCGCGGAAGAGGAUCGAGAGAUAUCUAGCGGCCAGGCUAGAGGAACAGAAAAUAUAUAUGUAUAGGUGUGCAUGCAUAAAUCCGUCGGCAAAUGAUCGCGAACAUACACGUGUAUACACACAUUGUAUAAUGUUGUGUUUGUGUAAACCCACGUUUUACGCCCCCUCGUCCCCCAUACCCGCCCGUCCCCUCGGCCAAUGACAGCUCGAAUUUAAACGCCCGGCAAUAGCCCGCUGUUACUGUACAUCUAUACAGCGCCCUGCCCCCGCUCAAUUAGUACAAUAUAAUAAUAAUGCAUUUGACGUUAUACUAACCGAUUUUGUAAUUUGUCUGUUUCAGGUAUGUGAUAUUCUAUAUGUACCGCGAUAACAACGAAGGUUAUUUUGUAAGAAAAAACUAAGCCGACGCGAUGUCUCCGACGAGUAUAAAAUCGUAACGUUGUUCAUUAUUAAUUAUUGUUGCUUAGUGUCCCGUGAAUAGAAUAUAAGCUAAGGAAAACUUUUAAAAUGAAAGCGUUAAAAAUCCCGGAAAAAAAAAAAAAACAGUCCAAAAAGCAACUAACGCAAUUCAAAUUUAAAAACUAGAUAACAUCAUGACCGUGACGUAGGAAAAUGUCACUAGAUUUGGAAGAAAUAAACAAAUAUGCACGAAACCGUUGGCAUAAUUUUCAAUCAUUAUGAAUUGAGUUUUAUUACUACCGGAACUAGUGCGUAUGACCCGAAUUAAGGGAGAAGAGGCCGGCGAAGACCGCCACGACGGCUUCGGGAAUCUUCGUGGCACAAACAUUUACACGGCGUGUUUUAACGGAAACGGCCCAUUUUCGUGCUUGGCGCGGGUAAAAAGACUAAACCAAAAUGGAAAUUCCCGUUCAAUUUCCGUGUCGCUCGUCACCGAAGUUCGGUUCGGUUAUUGGCGACUUUCGGUUCGAUUCCCGACCGGAUCCCUGCCGUGUUCGUACGUGGUCGACGCAUUGCCAGUUGAUUUGAUAUUGGGGAAAAAAUAAAAAAACCCUCCCCCCCACCGGGGCCUUUAACGCUCGAACGCUACGCGAUAAUAACAUUGCGCGCGGAACAGUUCCCGAUACAGGCGCCCGGGCAACGGACGCGGUGGCGCGUCCGUCGACAAUAUCGACGCCCCGGCUCGGGGACAAUAACGAAAUCGACAUUUUCGGUUCCGCACUCACACACACACACACAUUACACUAUACGAUUUGCAUUCCGGUCCCGGUCCCGUCUCGCGAACGCCACACGCGCGUGUGCGUAUACAUUAUGUACGUUGUGUUUUUCGUUUACACUUCAUCCCCGUUCGCGCGCACGUAAAAACAUCAAGUAUUUAAACUGCAUUAUAUCGCGGCGUGUUCGUUCGUUAUUUUGCGCCGCCGCCCCGCGAUUUUAAUUAGUUUUCGCCAAAAACGCUCCGCGGAAUCCGUCGCACUCGUAUGAAUAUUAAACGGGUAACGCGAUACGAGCGACUUUUUCGAAUAACGUUUUGACUUCGCGAACGGCGCGUAUAAAAAUGAUAUUCGCGCGUGCACUGUGUAUCAUAUAGGUGAGUUAACUAAGACGCCGUUGAUAACAAUUCAACUGCGCGGGCGCGCGCAAAGUUUUGACGGGACAGAGAAAUCGUUUAUUCCGGUGUAUCGUUUGUUUCGCUAUUAUUAUCUGUGUAUACGGCACCGCAGCAGAUUAUUCUGUUAACGGUAAACUGGCGAUAAUCAAUACAACGUGCAAUUGGUAUGAUGGUGUUUUCUUCGCGCGUCGACGGGGACAUUUUUCCGGGCCGGAAAACGAACAGUUGGAAAUUCGGGGCGAGUGUCGCUCUCACCCGUAUUGACGGCGAUAAUGACGGUAUAACCUAGAAAAAAAAGAAAAGAAAGUUAAUUGUACACUUGCCUUGCGUUCAAUAUUUUUUUUUUUUUGAAAAAUAUCACCCCCUAUAAUAUUUUCCACUCGACGACCUUUAGCGGAAUUAUUUUUACGCGCGAUUCCCGACCGUGUGUCCGUUCAUAAUAUUCUUGCUUUUUAAAUAAA